This 57928-nucleotide long non-coding RNA is filed under the name Triticum aestivum (bread wheat). RNAcentral's name for it is "long non-coding RNA (TAES_LNC011663)". The stretch from base 56382 to 56496 matches the Rfam family "MIR1120/MIR1122 microRNA precursor family". Lineage: Eukaryota; Viridiplantae; Streptophyta; Magnoliopsida; Poales; Poaceae. The record is from RNAcentral.
UAGGUUGAUUCGGUUUCACCUAUCAGCUUGCUGCGUGCCCCUUUUGUUUGGGAUCUCAUCUCGGUGUAACGCUGGAACGUUAUAUGUCCCAAGGAAACUUUGAGAUAGGCUUGUCGCCAAUUUUUGCUAGUAGAUGAGUCGUGAAUAAUUAUCAACUUCCUCUGUGCGUGUGAAGUGAUGUGGCUGGAAUUUAACGUACCCCUGUGGAUGUGUAUGGUUUUAUGCUCAAAGUCUUUGUCUCCGGUUUCCUUCUGUGCUGUUUGCUCUCUUUAGUUUGAAAUGAAACCUUGUCAUGUACCGCCAUGUUUUACAAGAAUCCUCAUGAUGAUAAAUUAGCAGCAUCUUCCAAAUAGCAUUAGGCGUACACAUGGACGGACAUGUUUCUCUCUUGGUUUUAUCAAUCCCGUUCUCCCAGUGCUGAAGAUGUCGAGGACAAACCUUGGGCCUUGCUCCGCCCUCCUCUUUAUCUGUUUUGAUGCUUUGAUCCACUUUCUGAAUGCACGCCCAAAUACAUGGCUGAAAUAAUACAUAUGGCUGAAAAGGCGCGAACUACACAAAAUACAUGGCUGGAAAUAAUCUGCAAGGCGCAAGCUAAUAAAGGCCUAAAAGCUGUGGCCAUUAUUUUUCAGAGACAACUAUCGCUGUAGUAUUUAGAUGGCAAACAUGCACCACUUACGUAUCAAAAGCUAGGCUGCCAUUGAACGUGCCUGCUAUUGUGGCCCAACAGGAAGCCUAGAGGUCUAGGGCAGUAGCAUGAUGCUAUGUCGCUGUUAAGCACAAACAUCAGCGCCUUAUUAUAUGUUAUAUUAGUGAACCCAGCGUAUGAGUUGCAUGCCCUUUUGGAGGCAAGGAAUCUGAUUGCACAUGAUCAUAUUUGGUUAAUUUGUACCUUAUUGUGGUUUUCUCCUAUACCAUUUGCCGACAACUCAAUUACCAAAUACUUCAUUUAAAUUUGGUAUAGUUAUUGCAUUGUCUGUCUUGUUCAUCUCUUCGUAAUCGUACAUUAACUCCAGCAUCCUUUUUCUCUUGAAGGGUCUCACAUUGUAAUUUCCAUCAUACAGCAAAAAACAAAUGCAUGCCAAAAGAUACAAUUGACUGCCAUUGCCAGGAUUAUUUUUGGAUGAGCUAGCACUUCUGCUCAACACCACUGAAAAUCCAGUACUGAAUGGCUAAAAGGUUUUCAUGUUAAGAGAGACAACAAUUAAACUAUCCAGUUUGAAUUUCUGUAGAACUAAAGCAAAGGUAGGUGGAAGCGUCUGAGCAAGAUUUUGUAUGCAAAGCGAUCUCAUUAAGAUAUGAACAAAACACAGGUGUUAGCAAUACUUCAAUUUGGAUUGGGCUCCAAAGUCCUCAUGGACUUCAAUUUGGGUCCCUAAUUAUUAUACUGGGAUUCCUACAAUCUUCCUUCGUCAAAAAGGAAAAUAAAUAAAUAAAUAAACAGAAAGUGAAGCAUGUGUGGGGGCAUAAAUUUCAGUUUUCCUUGCCUUCCGCUAAGAAAGCCAUCUUAAUUUGAUCGUAUAUGCAAGAGGAUUAAACUAGUGAGAGUGCAAUAAACUAGACACCAUUGGAGAACCUCUUGAGAAGCUGGAAAGGGCCGGGAGAUUUUGUAUGAGAGAACCUCUUGAGGAAAAAAUGAAGCAUGAAAACGAAAAGAAUACACUCAUAAACAGAAACAGAAGGAGAAGGCAGGACAAGCAACACCAAAAUUAGCAAGCAUUUACCUUCCAUGCAAGCCCGCCUACUUACGCAAGAGAAACCAGAAAACAAUCUCUAUAUAUCUGUUGGUGGCCGUGAGAGAAUGAAGCUGCAGCAUGAUCUGAUGGAGCCAAAAUUCCAAGAUAUAUAACCCCGCGCGACCGAACGCGUUUUCGGCUCGCAUGCUCGACGAGCAGAUCAUGCUGGCAGCUUCAGUCUCUCACACCAGCAAAGGCGUCCGUCCGUCCGUCCGUCCAUGGUAGCGGUUCUAGCAGGACAUGGAGCCGCGCGGAGAAUAGGGGUAGGGGAGAGAAGUGGCCGCUGCUGCCAUGCAUAUGUACUUCCCCUAUCCGGGGUAUCUUCUGUAUGGCGGCCUCGUAUGCGUAGGGUGGGCGGACUUAAAGGAGAGGAGGAGGAGGAGGAGGAGGAGGAGGGGAGGAGGGACAAAACCAUGGCACGAGGGGUGGGUGUGUGUCCAUGGUGGUUGGUGCAAGCAUGGUCCCUUCCUUGCCGCUCACACCUCGUGACACUGCCGUUUUGCCCUCACCGAAGUCGCCAUCGCCACCACGGCUUGUUUUAUGUGCAGUGUCCUUGCUCCCCCGGCCACACCAGAAUGGCACAUGCAUCUCUACGUUUUGCUCUCAAGUCCGGAUUUUUCGUAAAGAUAAUGUUUAGAGUGCAGAUGAUUGGUCGUGUUGCUAUCUACUCCCUCCGCUCCGAUUUACUCGUCAUGGUUUUGGUUCAAAUUUGAACUAAAACCACGACGAGUAAAUCAGAACGGAGGGAGUAUGUGUUUGUUGUGUGAGUUGCUGAACGAUUUACUUUCUCCCUUCCUUUCGCAAAAAAGAGAGAUUUAUUUACUCCCUUCAAUCCGAAUUAAUUGACGCAAACUCUAUACAAUGUAAGUGGGAGUACUGAUGAUGGAUGGAUAGUAGUUUUGAGGGUGCAGGUGAGGCUUUCAAAAAUAUGUCAUUGGAUUUUAAAGUUAUGCUAACAGUGUUUUAAAGCAUUUCACGUUAUUAAAGAUUAAGGGUACGUUUGGAUCAUAGCCAAUGCUUACCAUGCCAAAAAAUUGGCUGGCCCACGAACUUUGGUAGUCAUUUGGACUUGUGCCAAAAAUUUGGCUAGCCCGAGACGCCCGACCCCCGCCCACUUAAUUCUCGCCAAAACGCAGGCGAGCCGAUGGCACGUUCGCCAAAAUUUUGGCGUCGUAACUUUCCAUCUUUUCCUCUGUGGGUCCCAUGUCUUUUUCUUACCUUGGGAUUUUUUAAGGGUCUGUUUGGUUUAUGACCCCAACCACCCUACCAAAAUAUUGGUCAUGCCAAGUCCCUCGUAUGUUGUUUGCUUUGUAGCCAAAAUUUUGGCUGCCAACGGGUCCUUUGUUCCUUCCUUCACAGAUUUUUGCCAAAUCUUUGGCCAACCCUGGGCGAUGGAAUCCCACGCCAAAUAAUUGGCAAGCCAAUAUUGGCAGGGCAGCUACAGGCAAGAACCAAACAUAUCCUAAGAUUCGUGUCCUAUCUUGUGAUGCAUGCAGCAUGUUAGUUCAGAUUGUUGUGGCCGUUAAUUAAUUAGUGGGCCCCGUCGCCAAUUGAGCUACUCCAAUCACCAUGGCGGCCACCGCGAUUAUGGACGGAGAAGCUUAUCUGAUGAUAAUACAAACUUGCUUUCCCUUGUCCCUCUAGAGAUCACAACGCCCUAAAAUUUUCUUCCCAUCUGCUCCCUCCGCAAUACACAGAGGGAGUAUGUAUUCAUCUGCAGACCCAUCUCCUUUGUCGUGAUCUGUCUCUCCAAAUUCUACAUCUGCAGAAAGCGAACUGUACUUGGUCUUGUUGUUUGGAAGACUUAUCAUGUAAAUACGCUCCUUGAGCCACGAAAUUGGUCAAUAUCUUGCAAACUCCAACCAAGUGAGAGAGAAUAUAGUACACCAAAAAAGGAAGCAUUCCUGUAUUCGUCAGUUUGAUAAGAGUGGUUGGCGUCAUCUAGCGAAGGACAACCAUUUGCUAUGUGUUUUGGGAAUCUUCAGAAACUACAGGAUGUCUUUUGAGAUAUAAUCCAACCCAGGAAGCCUCAAAUCUGAAGCCUCCAAGAAAAGCCGCGACCCCCCCCCCCCUGCGUCNNNNNNNNNNNNNNNNNNNNNNNNNNNNNNNNNNNNNNNNNNNNNNNNNNNNNNNNNNNNNNNNNNNNNNNNNNNNNNNNNNNNNNNNNNNNNNNNNNNNNNNNNNNNNNNNNNNNNNNNNNNNNNNNNNNNNNNNNNNNNNNNNNNNNNNNNNNNNNNNNNNNNNNNNNNNNNNNNNNNNNNNNNNNNNNNNNNNNNNNNNNNNNNNNNNNNNNNNNNNNNNNNNNNNNNNNNNNNNNNNNNNNNNNNNNNNNNNNNNNNNNNNNNNNNNNNNNNNNNNNNNNNNNNNNNNNNNNNNNNNNNNNNNNNNNNNNNNNNNNNNNNNNNNNNNNNNNNNNNNNNNNNNNNNNNNNNNNNNNNNNNNNNNNNNNNNNNNNNNCUUUGGCGGAUCCACUCUGAGUGGAGAGCCUCGACAUCCGGGGCGGCGGCCCCGGGCGGCGGCCAGCGGCGUGGCCUGUGCGGCGGGCGGCGCCGCAGGGUGCAGGUGGGCCGCCUCCCAGGUCGUGCGGGCGGCAUGGAGGCGGUGGGCGUCGGUGGCUGCAGCAGCUCCUCGUAGGCCGGCUGUUCCUUGGAGAAUCGGCGUCCUCUUCCUCGAUCUGCUCCGAUCCGCGCCGCCCCCUGUCCCUGGUGGCUCCGGCCGCCGUUUUUGGAUGCCGGGUGUGCGGAUCUGGUGGUUGGGUGUGGAUCCGGGGGAAACCCCUGGCCGGCGCGGCGGCCACACUGAAGAUGUCGCCUUUGGGCGUCGUUCUCCUUGCUGAAGGCUUCGGUGGGCUUCCUGCACCUCCCACCCCACCCAACAGCUCAGGUGAAAGCCUCAGUUCCUCGUUUCAUGGUGACGACGGCACAUUGGUGGCGUGAACCUUCCUGAAGGCGUCGUCAGGGAAGUGCUCAAGUGGUGGUGGAGUCGGUGGUGGUUCGACGGCGGAUUGUAUUGGCCUGAUCCUCAUCUUUGGCAACUUGUUCGGGUCCAGGUGUGGAGGGUUGCCUCCUACCCUUGACCGAUGCGUGGUGCUGCAUACUCUUGGCCUUCUCCGGGGUUUUCAGCGCCUUCGUCUCGACAACUCUCGUCCGGUGCUCUGUCUUGCUGCUGCCGGCAACGGUGACUGGGUGUUCGGCUCCCCGUUUUCGUGUGGGUUUGUUCCUGAUGCAUCUCCUUCGGUUGCUUGGGAAUGCUGAUCUGGGUUCUAGGGUGAACCACUCCGCAGGCCGCCGGUGCGGCACCCGCCGAGCCCGGGUGAAAGGGUAGGGGCCCUUUGCGGAGGCGGAGUCAGGUCAUGUGUUGCCCCUGUUUUCCUUCUGAUGGCAAUCAGUGACACAAAACAUGCACGGUGGUGCCUUCCUCCCAUAGCCUUAGUAGGUUAGCUGGUUUCGGCUUAGCGGCGUUCGAUGCCUUCGAGUUGUUCUACUAAGCAUAAUGUAUCUUUAUUUCCGCUCUUUGUUUCUUGUUGUAAGUGGCAGUGCUGUAAUCCUGGCCGGUUGAUGGCUUUGUUAAUUCAAAGUCGGGCUCUUCUUGAGCCUUCGUUCUAAAAAAAAUAAUCCAACCCAAUCCAGGGACUCCUCCCAUGUCGCCCCUGCGCGGCGACCGGAGGAAACCCUAGCGCCGCCGCGUCCUCGUCCCUCCCCCGGGCAAAGCCCGGUCGGCGUCGGCGGCGGCGGGAUCUCUUCUCCCACGGCUCGCUGGAUCUGGCGCGGGCGGAUCGUGGCGGUGGUUGGCGGCACACUGGAGGCGGGGCGCACCGGCGCGAGCUUGGGGUGACGGCUGUUUGCCCUGGUGUGCGUGGGAGUCCGCUCGGGGCGCGCGGCGGCGGCCCUCGGCAAGCGGUGGCGGGCGCUGGGAUCUCGGCGGCUUUCCGGCAUGUGCAGGCGGCGGUGGUCCCUGUGCGCGGUCGGCGGCUCCGUCUCUGACCCGGACGGCGCGGGGGAUGGCGUCGGCCCGGCGUGGCCGGCGAUCUGGAUGCGGUGGUGCCGGCAGCUCGUCGAUCUGCCGGUGCUCCGGGGUUCUGCCUGGUAGCGCUAGUGGUGACGACGGCGCGUGCACGAGAGUUGGAUCCCUUCGAACUGAUCUGGGUGAAAACUUGCCUUCGGCGUCUACUAAGGCCGGCUGUUGCGGCGCUAUCUGCGUCGUUCCCUUCUUGAAAGCAUCGUCGUGGAGAAGUUCAAGGACACUCUCUGCUACCUCUGGGGAAACCCUAGAUCGGAUGAUCGAAUGACGGCGGUGCUCUGGUGUCGUUCCUCCCUUGGGGGCGUCAUUCUUGGAGGUACACACGUGAUCGAGGGACCAGAGGACAGAUUCUUUGGUGGAGCGGUGCUUCAUCCUACACACUGAUUGCGACGGAUCUUGACAGCGUGGCACAGUGCAUAUUCGGAGGUCGCUGUGGGAGGAUGGACUCACGCAGGAGGACCACGCUGUCAGGCAUCAUGGUGGCAUCGAUGGCAGAGAGACCUGACACGGUUCAUACAACAGUACAGCUCUGAAGAUGGAUUGGUGGCAGGUGGCUGCGGCGGCCUCAUACCCGGCAGGCGUCCUGGUUGAGGAGUGCGCCGGACUGGUAGGUGCCCCAUACCCGGCAGGCGUCCUGGUUGGGACCUUAGGUCUUAGAUGUUUAGGUUUGGCUGCGAUGUCUGUUUGGUAUUAGGCCUAGACUAUCUGCGUCCCUUCAUCAAUUGGAUAGGUGUAGCGACAGCUAUUGCUUAGACGGUGGCUUUAGUCUUGCUGUUGUAUGACUUUGUAAGGUCUUGUGUGAGAAUAAUUAAUAAAGUGGCCGUAUGCAUCGACCAGAUGUAGAGGCCGGGGGUCAUCCUCCUUUUCUAAAAACAAACAAACAAACAAACAGGAUGCGUAUCAAGCUUAGAUGGAGGCAUGUACUCAAACACUCUGAACCUAGCUACUAAAGUUGCAAUCAGUCGAGACAAAUGCUCAAAACCUGAAGCAUGCUCUGAAAUUUCUUGUACCUAUUAGCAGCAGGCCAACAGCUAACAGUUGGAAGAAAUUACGUGCAAGCAACUUUGUCAACCUAUGAGCUUAUCAUUUAUUCAAUGUACAAGCAGUUAGUUCAAUGAUUCGUCGAUUUGUCCAUUAGGUGUUUAGUACCAGAAGUAGCAUGUCCAGCAGCAUAUCAGAUUUGUAAUGCAAAUUGCGUAGUGCAAAUCAAGCAUGGAGCACCUCCGAUAACAAAACAACAUCAGCUUCAAAAAUGGCAUUGACCAAAAUGAAAGUAGAACUUGUUAGAUUGAUAUCUCCACCAAUGGGCCCAACGGCUCAUUGGGCCCUUGACCCACGCCCUGAUCGGGGGCGUCCAGCCCAAGCAAGGCUGGUGGGCCCCUAUCGUGCAGUACUAUAAAGAGGAGGUGGGGACCAGGGGCAUGGGGUACGAGGUUCGUCACCGCCACUGUUCCCCACUCCUAACCCUUUCCGAUCCAGAGGGAGGCACUGAAGCGACAGGAAGCUCCACCGCCGCCACUCACGCACUCUCUGCCAUCACCGCCGUGUCCACAACCACCGGCCACCGUCACCAUGGCCGGCAUCAGGACGUCCUCGAGCCACGGAAGAAGGUAAUACCUACCACCACUGUUGCCGGAAUCCUAGCCUGCACGAUCCCGUCGUGGUUCUAUCAGAACUAACAGAUUAUUUCAGAAAUUUAGAUUCACCAACACAUGCCAGUCACAUCUCGCUGGGCACUAAUCGGCAAGGGGAGAACAUCUAAUAGGGCUAGCUAUGUGUACGUAAACGUAGUCAUCCAAAUUUCGUGCUCACAGGCUGCCAUCGACGAGAUGCGGUGGCCACCUAAUGGAUCUUCAUCAUAGGCAGCCGAUGAGACAUCCAGUCGGCCACACACAUGUAUCCCCGUCUAGGGUUUUCGUCGCUGGGAUCUAUGAGCCGCUAGAGGCAAGAGAAUGAUUCAGGAGCCAGAGGUGGGAGACAGGCCCACAGGAUGAGGGAUCUUUUUACAAAUCGCAUGGGUGAGCUAGGCUGGAGGCGGGCGUCUUUUUGCAAGAAUUGAGCCAACAAACUACAUGCGCACGAUUUGAUUCGGAUGGAUGGUAGCGAAGGGAUGCAGGGGUGCACGAAGGUAGGCAGAUUCAUAGGAUACGACGCCUUUCAGGAUUACAAUGGUUACAAGUCGCAGUUGUUAGCAAACCAAACAAGAUGUUCAUUUUGCCAAAAAUUUGGACGGUUACAAUGGGCACAAACCAAACAUCAACAAGCUACCAAAUUUUUGGUCAUGCCUGUUGUAAAGAUGAGCAAUUUACCGAGUGAUUUUAUUAACAAAAAUACUAGAUAAAGCAUGACUAGUGUAGCAGUGAUAAAACAAGCCAUGCGAUUUGACAAAAAGAAGGUAAACAACAUCUUCAUAUAUGAACCGUAACUAAACAUAUCUUGAGCAGACAGUAUAGCAAGUUGCAUAUAUGAACUAAAGUCUAAUAUAUCUAGGGCAAAUACUAGAACAAGGAACUGUAGCAGAACCUCCAAUAGAAAGGGGACAAACACGUACGGGGCAGAAGCAGCAGAAGCGCUAGACUUGGGGUCGGUGUCCUCGCCAGCCAUGUCGUCGAGAAGAUCGUGGAUGUCGGGGAAGUAGUCGUCGGAGUUCGGGGCGUCCGUGAUGAAGAAGUCAGUAGUCGCGCGAAGCGCUCCCCAAAAACCUUAGCACCCUUCUCCCGUACAGGACUCAAAAGGUGCGGUUUCGAAGGCCUACUGUCCCGACUCGCGGUGCACGCCGCAAGCCGAGAUGAGGAAGACAGCAGCAGCGCAGAGAUUAGAACCGGUGGCGAGAGGAAGGAGAAGUUCUGGUGCAUCACUCUGAGAGGAGCGACCUCCCUUUUAUAGGCACAAGAGAAGGAGGCGAGAGGGUAGCGACGAAAGGUGAAACGAAGAGACGAAGAUGAAGCGAACAGCCAGCAGCCGAAGGGCUGCACCGUUCGCAUUCAAACUCCACUAGCGCAAAAACGUUUCAGCCUCUGUGUGACCUUUCGUAUACCCGUCGUGCGUGGCAAAAAUUUAGACAUCGGCUCAUUCCCGCAACCCGCGGAGCGUCGUGACGAGGCGUGGCGUGGCGAGGCGGGUGGCGGAGGAGGAGCACGCGUGGAUGUCCCUCUUGUUUUCAUGCUCAUACAUGUGGGGAAAGAACCUCCCUUAUAAAGAGGUCCAACUCCCUCUAAACUAGCAAUGUGGGACUAAACUUUAGUUCCACCUCUUGCUUUGCACGAAUGGGUUGCGUGGGCCUCUAGGAUUUAUUAGGAAUUUCUGAAACUGUUAUUGGGCUGGCCCAUAAUAGACAAAAUUCCAGCAAUCCCCCACCAGAUCCCAGAGGCACACAAAAUUUGUCUUUGGUUCCAAAACACUGUUUUAUAUACCGGUACUGCAGUGGAGACUGUUAAGUUGAACUUUCACCUAGAACUCUAUGCUACACUAGUAAGCAACUUGAACAGUGGACUGGGCCUUGAACUGCAAGUUUUCUACGAAUCUAGCUUCACAUAAAGCCUUGAUCGAUACGUGGCUACCAUGGGUCUUCCCCGUGGGUGGAGCUUAUGCGUCAUACUCCGAGACCUUUCAUGAGUUUACUAGAGAGAACCCUACUCUCAUAGAUUGCGACGUUUAACAAUCAGACUCAUAUAGGUGCGUUCUUCAAAAGAUGUUCUGCAGGACAACAUCUCUGCUUCAAAGAGCCACUUAGAACACAUUAAGAUAUACAUCAACCUGCCAUGCAGAUUAGGAGAGUAUUGUAUCUUCAUGUAGUGGUAUUUUUAACAGUAAAGAUACUCUCCUCCCAGUUGACCAACAGCUUGUCUUCCACAUCUAAUUCACGGGAUCUCCGAUCACAAAGAAUAGGUUACCACUGUGAACAACUCAUAUUGUGGGUCUCAUACCCAUCUCCCUCGAUGCAUUAUCUAUCACAUUACGUGAUAGACCCUUAGUAAAAGGAUCUGCCAGAUUUUUAGACGUUUGGAUAUAAUCCAAUGCAAUAACUCCGGAGUUUUUCAUUUUUCUGACAGACUUUAACCUUCUCUGAACGUGUCUUGAUGACUUUAUGUUAUCCUUUGAGCUGCUCACUUUAGUGAUCAUAGUUUGAUUGUCACAGUUCAUAAGGAUACUCGGUACAGGUUUCUCAACUACCAGCAAGUCAUUCAAGAGCCGACGAAGCCAAUCUGUUUCGACCGUAGCUGUAUCUAGUGCUGUAAGUUCUGCUUCUAUUGUUGACCUCGUUAAGAUGGUCUGCUUGCAAGACUUCCAAGAAACAGCGCCACCUCCAUGAGUGAAUACAUAUCCGCUCGUGGCCUUUAUCUCAUCAGCAUCUGAGAUCCAGUUUGAGUCACUAUACCCUUCAAGCACCUUUGGGUGCUCGGUGUAGUGAAUUCCAUAAUUCGCAGUGCCUUUCAAAUAACGCAAAACUCUCUCUAGAGCUUUCCAAUGCACAUCUCCUGGUUUUGAGACAAACCGGCUCAGUUUGCUAACAACAAAAGAGAUGUCAGGUCUUGUAGGACUGGCUAAGUACAUAAGCGAGCCAAUAAUCUGAGAAUACUUCAAUUGAUCUCUAGCAAUUCUUUGAUUCUUUCAAAGCAGCACGCUAGCAUCAUAUGGUGUUGGAGAGGGCUUGCAGUCACUAUAGCCAAAGCGACUCAAGAUCUUUUCCACAUAGUGAGAUUGAAGCAAUGUAAUCCCACCAUCAUCAUCUCUCAACAACUUGAUGUUCAGAAUGACAUCAGCCACUCCUAAAUCCUUCAUCUCAAAACAGCGAGAUAGGAAAUCCUUGACCACCUUAAUAACAUUCAGAUUUGUUCCGAAAAUUAGUAUGUCAUCAACAUACAAGCAAAGCAUAACCCCCUCGCCCCCACCAUGGCGAUAGUACACACAUUUGUCAGCUUCGUUCACAACAAAGCCUGCAGCUGUUAAAGUUCUUUCGAACUUCUCACGCCACUGUUUGGGUGCUUGCUGAGUCCAUACAAAGACUUCAGCAACUUGCACACUUUCCCUUCCUGACCAUCUAUUACAAACCGAUCUGGUUAUUCCAUAUAAAUUUCCUCAUCCAACUCUCCAUUUAGGAAAGCAGUCUUAACAUCCAUUUUAUGAACGAGAAGACCAUGUGAGGCAACUAGUGAAAAUAGAACUCGAAUAGUGGUUAGUCGAGCCACAGGUGAGUAAGUAUCAAAGAAGUCUUCACCUUCCUUUUGGGUAUAACCCUUAGCCACGAGCCGAGCCUUGUACUUUUCGAUAGUACCAUCAGGCCUAAGCUUCUUCUUGAAUACCCAUUUGCAUCCUAUAGGUUUUCACCCAUAAGGACGAUCAGUUAUCUCCCAAGUUUCAUUCGCCAAGAUGGAAUCCAUCUAGCUACGAACCGCUUCCUUCCAGUACUCAGCAUCUUCCGAUGCAUAGGCCUCCGAAAUAGAACUGGGAGUAUCAUCUAUGAGAUACACAAGAAAAUCAUCACCAAAGGACUUUGCUAUCCUCUGUCUCUUGCUCCUAGUAGGAACUUCGUUGUUCUCCUCCAUAGGACUUUCAAAGUGUUCCAUCAAAAUGGCAGGUUUGGUAAUUGUAACUGGUUCUUGAUUCGAUGAACUAGGCAUCUCCUGAUUAGAUGAGGUAGCCAUAUCGUUCAUGGGAAAGAUAGCUUCAAAGAAAGUCACAUCAUUCGACUCCAUGCUCGUACCGACAUGCAUGUCAGGUACCUCCGAUUUUAUAACCAAGAAUCUAUAGCCAAUGCUAUGAAAAGCAUAUCCUAGGAAAACACAAUCCACAGUCUUUGGUCCAAGCUUCCGCUUCUUUGGAAUUGGAACAUUGACUUUCGCUAAACAACCCCAUGUUCGCAGAUAAGAGAGUUUUCACCUUUUCUUCUCCCAUUCCACGAAUGGAGUUAUCUCUUUGUUCUUUGUGGGGACUCGAUUUAGGACAUGACAUGCUGUCAAUAUCGCCUCCCCCCACCAUGCCUUGGAGAGACCCGAUGUGUCUAACAUGGCGUUAACCAAAUCAGUAGAGUACAGUUCUUUCUUUCGGCCACCCCAUUUGACUGAGGUGAGUAGGGAGGCGUCCUCUCAUGGAUUAUACCAUGUUCUGCACAAAAAGCAUCAAAUUCAUUGGAAAAAUACUCUCCACCACGGUCGGACCUAAGCCUCUUGAUUUUUCGGUCAAGUUGGUUUUCCACUUCAGCUUUAUAGAUCUUGAAAAAGUUCAAAGCCUCAUCCUUAGAUUUCAGAAGAUACACACGGCAAUAUCUAGUGGAGUCGUCAAUUAACGUCAUGAAAUAUUUCCUUCCACCUUUUGUCAAAACACCAUUCAUUUCACAUAGAUCAGAAUGUAUAAGUUCUAGUGGUGCAAGAUUUCUCGUUUCCGCAGUCACAUAAGACUUACGAGGUUGCUUAGCUUGCACACACACUUGACACUUAGAUCCCUUGACAGUGGUGAAACUAGGGAUUAAGUUCAACUUUGCUAGUCGCGACAUGCAACCAAAGUUAACAUGACAAAGACGUGAAUGCCACACAUUUGAUUCACUAUUGUUGCAAAUAUGAUUAACAACUUUAUUGCAAACAUCUGAUAAGGAUAAACGAAACAGGCCUCCUGACUCAUAGCCUUUACCAACAAAGGUUCCAUACUUGGAUAUUACAAAUUUAUUCGACUCAAAGACAAGCUUAUAGCCAUCUCUACACAGAAGAGAUCCUCUAACAAGAUUUUUAUUGAUAGAGGGGACAUAAUGCACGUUCUUCAGCCGCACGAUCUUCAACUUCAGAUCGACCGUGCCAACACCAUGAACAUAAGCACUUGAACCAUUGCCCAUUAGCACAGUUGAAGUCCCUGCAGUCUGACAAGACAAAAACAUGGAAAUAUCACCACAUACAUGCACAUUAGCACACGUGUCAAUCAACCAAUCAGGAGAAUGACAUACUGAAAGAAUAGUGGGAAAUAUACCAUACCCAGCAUCCUUCAUGUCAGUGUCUCCAAUGACAACAUUAGCGGUCUUGCCGCCUUUCCCAGGAUGACGCUUGUCAUAGUGAUUAGGACAACUAGGAGCCCAAUGAUCAGGAUCUCCACACACAUGACAAGCACCUUUCUUCUUGUCACUCUUCUUCUUGAAGUUCGUGUGUUGUACAACCUUGUUCUUCCCAUCAAACUUUGCUUUACCAUCAAGCUUGCCCUUGUUCUUGAACUUGUGGGACUGGAAGUUUUUCUUCUGUACUAGAUUGGCACUAGAUCCUCCCUCAAUACCUCGAGCACGUGUGUCCUUUGCUCUCGCCUUUUCUUCCACAUCAAGAGUACCAAUGAGAUCCGGAACGAAAAACUCCUGUCUCUUAUGCUUCAGUAAGGUAGCAAAGUUCCUCCAUGAAGGAGGAAGCUUAGUGAUGAUACCCCCGGCAACAAACUUGUCCAGUAGCAUGCAAUUGAAGUGCUCAAGUUCUCUAGCAAAUGACUGUAUCUCAUGAGCCUGCUCAACCACGGAGCGCUCUUCAGUCAUCCUGUAAUCAUAGAAUUGCUCCAUGAUGUACAGCUCAGUGCCGGCAUCCGAGACCCCAAACUUGGCCUUGAGUGCGUCCCACAUAUCUUUUCCAUUGUCAAUUGACGCAUAAGCAUCAACUAUGUUCUCACCAAGAACACUCAAGAGAGUAGCCUUAAACAGAGUAUCCAUUUUCUGAAAAGCUUGUGACUGUUGAGCAUCAAGUUCCCCUUCAGGUCUGCCAAGAGUGGCGUCAUAGCAACUCAUGGUUUUAAACCAUAAGACUGCUCUCAUGCGCCACCUCUUAUAGUGGAUACCCUCAAACAUAGGAGGUCUCAUGGAAGCAGCAAACCCACUUGGGGUAAACUGCCAAUAAUAAGGUUUUUGGAUUGUUGGAAAGAUGAGCAAUUUACCGAGUGAUUUUAUUAACAAAAAUACUAGAUAAAGCAUGACUAGUGUAGCAGUGAUAAAACAAGCCAUGCGAUUUGACAAAGAGAAGGUAAACAACAUCUUCAUAUAUGAACCAUAACUAAACAUAUCUUGAGCAGACAGUAUAGCAAGUUGCAUAUAUGAAAUAGAGUCUAUCUAGGGCAAAUACUAGAACAAGGAACUGUAGCAGAACCUCCAAUAGAAAGGGUACGAACACGUACGAGGCAGCAGCAGCAGAAGCGCUGGACUUGGGGUCGGUGUCCUUGCCAGCCAUGUCGUCGAGGAGGUCGUGGACGUCGGGGAAGAAGUCGUCGUCGGGGAAGUAGUCGUCGGAGUCCGGGGCGUCCGUGACGAAGAAGUCAGUAGUCGCGCGAAGCGCUCCCCAAAAACCUUAUCACCCUUCUCCCGUACAGGACUCAAAAGGUGCGGUUUCGAAGGCCUACUGUCCCGACUCGCGGUGCACGCCGCAAGCUGGGAUGAGGAAGACAGCAGCAGCACAGAGAUUGGAACCGGUGGCGAGAGGAAGGAGAAGUUCUGGUGCGUCACUCUGAGAGGAGCGACCUCCCUUUUAUAGGCGCAAGAGAAGGAGGCGAGAGGGCAGCGACGGAAGGUGAAACGAAGAGAUGAAGAUGAAGCGAACAGCCAGCAGCCGAAGGGCUGCACCGUUCACAUUCAAACUCCACUAUCGCAAAAACGUUUCAGCUUUUGUGUGACCUUUCAUAUAUCCGUCGUGCGUGGCAAAAAUUUAGACAUCGGCUCGGCUCAUUCCCGAAACCUGCGGCACGGCGCGGCGCGGCGCGUCGUGACGAGGCGAGGCGAGGUGGGCGGCAGAGGAGGAGCGCGCGUGGAUGUCUCUCUUGUUCUCAUGCUCAUACAUGUGGGGAAAGAACCUCCCUUAUAAAGAGGUCCAACUCCCUCUAAACUAGCAAUGUGGGACUAAACUUUAGUUCCACCUCUUGCCUUGCACGAAUGGGCUGCGUGGGCCUCUAGGAUUUAUUAGGAACUUCUGAAACUGCUAUUGGGCUGGCCCAUAAUAGACAAAAUUCCAGCAAUGCCCACACUUUGGUCCUACCCACUUUUUGGCAGGGCUAGUUGGGGCUCAAACCAAACACACCUUAACUUUCAGAUGUGUUGCAUUCUUUCGCAGGUCUUUUGCAACACCGCUGCUCGAAUUGAUGGUCGUCGCGAAGAUCAAAGAGAAGGCCCACCUUUGGGCAACGACCGAUACCACCCACUUGAGUAUUGUAAUGCCGCGAGAGUAGUUCUCUGUUCCCCGCUUUUGCGGCUAUUUGUCUAAAACCUUCUUCCUUGAUCAAUGAAAAUGACAAAUCUUUUGCCUUGUUUUAAAAAUAAACUUCUAGAUGUGUUUUUGGUGAGAUGCAUACUUAAAAAUUUCUGGCUAAAAUUACACAUAUAUUUUUGUUGACACACAUAUAGAAGUUGACGGUGUGUACAAAAUGUUCCAUUAGAUAUCAACUCGCGUGUGUCAACAUGUGUACUUGCAUAUUAAGUCAAUUACACCUGUUGUCCUUGAAUUUGACGCAGACGGUCGCUUUACUGGUAGAACUUGUGGUAUACAUCGAAGUGUUCUAGUACAUAUCAGCUAGCCUCUUUAGAGUGUGUCAUCAUGUGUAGUUGCAUAUUGAGUCAAUUACCCCGGCGGUGCUUGAACUUGGCGCAAAUGUCGCUUUAGUGAUAGAACUUGGGUAUACAACUAUACAUUGAAGUGUUCCAGUACAUAUCAACUCGCCUCUUCAUAGUGUGUCAUCAUGUGUAGUUGCGUAUUGAGUCAAUUACACCCGUGGUGCUUGAAUUUGACGCAGACGGUCGCUUUACUGGUAUAACUUGCGGUCUACAUUGAAGUGCUGCAGUACAUAUCAGCUUGCCUCUUCAGAGUGUGUCAUCAUGUGUAGCUGCAUAUUGAGUCAAUUACACCCGUGGUGCUUGAAUUUGACGCAGACGGUCACUUUACUGGUAUAACUUGCGGUCUACAUUGAAGUUCUCCAGUACAUAUCAGCUAGCCUCUUCAGAGUGUGUCAUCAUGUGUAGUUGCAUAUUGAGUCAAUUACCCCGGUGGUGCUUGAACUUGGCGCAAAUGGUCGCUUUAGUGCUAGAGCUUGGGUACAACUAUACAUUGAAUUGUUUCAGUACAUAUCAACUUGCCUCUUCAGAGUGUGUCAUCAUGUGUAGUUGUGUAUUGAGUCAAUUACACCUGUGGUGCUUGAAUUUGACAUAGAUGAUCGCUUUACCGGUAGAACUUGUGGUAUACAUUGAAGUGUUCUAGUACAUACCAGCUAGCCUCUUUAGAGUGUGUCAUCAUGUGCACUUGCGUAUUGAGUCAAUUACCCCGGUGGUGCUUGAACUUGACGCAAUGGUCGCUUUAGUGCUAGAACUUGGGUAUACAACUAUACAUUGAAGUGUUCAAGUACAUAUCAACUAGCCUCUUCGAAGUGUGCCAUUGUAACGCCCCGGAUUCGUUGCGCCAGGUGUCCGCCAGUUAUUCGCCGUCGUUGCCAUGACUUUUGCUUGCGUGUUGCAUAUUGCCAUGUCAUCAUGUGCAUUUCAUUUCGCAUUCGUGUUCGUUUCAUGCAUCCGAGCAUUUUCCCCGUUGUCCGUUUUGCAAUCCGGCACUCCUAUGUCCUCCGGCGUCCCCUUUUUAUCUCUCGUUGUGAGUGGGUAUUAAAUGUUCUCGGAAUGGACCGAGGUUUGCCAAGCGGCCUUGGUAUAGCACCGGUAGACCGCCUGUCAAGUUUCGUGCCAUUUGGAGGUCGUUUGAUACUCCAACGGUUAACCGGGUAACCGCAAAGGCCUCUUUUGUUUGCAGCCCAACACCCCCUUCAAAGUGGCCCAAAACCCAGCAAACUCCCCUCCAUGCUCUCGAUCGUUCGAUCACGAUCGCGUGGCCGAAAACCGCUCCUCAUUUGGACAAUCCUAGCUCCCUCUACCUAUAUAUAUGUGCACCUCCCCCGAAAUCCCGGUCUAACCCUAGUCAUCUUCCUCCCGCUGCCGCCGGACACGUCCACCCCGGCCGGACAUGUCCGCCGGCCAUGUCACCCGACCAAUGGCAGCUCGCCACGUCACCCCGCCGCCGCUCCCCUUCACUCGCGUCGCGCCACAUCACCGCCGCCAGCGCCUCACCUCGUCGCCGCCGCCCGGGGCCCAGAUCCNNNNNNNNNNNNNNNNNNNNNNNNNNNNNNNNNNNNNNNNNNNNNNNNNNNNNNNNNNNNNNNNNNNNNNNNNNNNNNNNNNNNNNNNNNNNNNNNNNNNNNNNNNNNNNNNNNNNNNNNNNNNNNNNNNNNNNNNNNNNNNNNNNNNNNNNNNNNNNNNNNNNNNNNNNNNNNNNNNNNNNNNNNNNNNNNNNNNNNNNNNNNNNNNNNNNNNNNNNNNNNNNNNNNNNNNNNNNNNNNNNNNNNNNNNNNNNNNNNNNNNNNNNNNNNNNNNNNNNNNNNNNNNNNNNNNNNNNNNNNNNNNNNNNNNNNNNNNNNNNNNNNNNNNNNNNNNNNNNNNNNNNNNNNNNNNNNNNNNNNNNNNNNNNNNNNNNNNNNNNNNNNNNNNNNNNNNNGGCCGCCCGCGUGCCUCCGCUGCCGGCCGCGCCUUCUCCCGCCCGCCAGCCUCCAUGGCCGGUGCCGCCGUGAGCCUCGCCGGAGUUGGCCGAGCUCGCCGACCCCGUGGCUCCCCGGCCCAGAUCCGGCCGGAUUCGGGGAAGAAGACCCCGGAUCCGCCUCCCCAGCCUCGUCCCCGACGUCUCCGGCGCCUUUCCGGCCUCCUUCAUCAUCUCCGGCCAACUCCGGCGGAAUCUUCGGCGUACCUCGAGAACCGUGCAGAUCCGAAGGUUGUCCCCGAUUUUGCCUGUCCCGAGUUUUUCACAUCAUCAUGCCAUGUUCAUCGCAUCAUAACUUGCUGCGUACUGCUCCGUUUCGUGCGUGUAAUAUGUCAAAGUGUUCGCCUCGACGAGUACUUCAAUUCAUUCCAUUGCAUCAUUUUCAUUUGAGCUCAUCUUGGUGCCCGAAAUGCUGUUGGAAGAGUGCAUGUUGACGUUAAUCUGCUAGAACUGUUAUAACUUGCACUUUUGUCAUUUUUGCCAUGUUUGAUGUGUGCAUCCUAUGAGGUUGAUGUCUACAUGUGUUUUGAUCUAUGCCAUGCCAUCUUUCCAGAGGUGCUAUCCAUGUAUUUUUGUGAUUUGUGUGCUGAGUGCAUCAAGCUUGUUAAGGAGGGUACUUGCUGUUGCUGUUUUCCUGACAGAUUCUGUUAUAUUUUGUUGCUAUGUAAACAUGCUUCUACUAGUUAUUCUAUGCAUAAUCUGGAGAUGUUCACUAAGGAUGUUUUGUUAUACAUGUUAUGCUAUAUCCAUUCAUGCCCCUGGGUGCAUUAAUAGCCUUCUGUAGGUUGUUGUUAUCUUGCUCCAAAGUUGCUAAAUAAUGUUGCUGUCAGCCUGUUAACAUUAAGUUCAGUUUUGGCCAUGUGCUUUUCUAGUGAUCCAUGCAUCCUAUGAACUUGUUCUUGCCAUGCUUAGCUUCGUAAACAUGUAUUCCUACUGUUGGUUGCCUUGCCAUGCCAUGUGUUGCUCUGUGGUGAGUGAUUCAAGCUCACCAACAUGCCUACUUAUUGUUGUUCCUGCCAUGUAUGAAUCUGUCAUAUAACUUGCCAUGUUUACAUGGGUGCCAUUUUAUCUUCUGAUCCUUUUCAGCUCAUGGUCAGUAAGGGACUUUUGUUCUAUGAAAUUAUUAGAUUCAUGACAUGCCUUUGUUUGCCAUGAUAAGUUCCUGUAACAUGUUGUUUGAUAGCUCUAAACAUUGCAACCUGAUGUUAUUUCCUGAUAAGUCUGAAACUGUUAUUAUUUGCAAUCUUCCCAUGUCCUUUUGAGCAUGUUUUAGUUGUUUCUGGAGAUAGCUCAGUGUUCAUGUUUUGUUAUGCUUUACCUGUACCUCAUGCCCAUGCCUUUUGUUAUUAUGUUGGGAUGAGUAGCAUAUUGUUUUGAUGCUUGCUAGAUGCCUAGUCGCUGUUUUGGACAGAUUGUUGUUAUGACUUGUACAGAGUGUAUGUGUUGAACCGUUGCUCCGUUUUGAGUGUGCUCUAUAUGAAACUUGCUUGGUUUUGCAUGUAGUUUCAUAUUAUCAUGUUGCAUCCUUGUUUUGAGGUGUUUGCUUGAUGUUUGGAUGCAUUUUGCAUCAAUGCCAUGUUUAACUUGUUUUGCUCAUAUCUUCUAGGCCGUAGCUCCGAACUAAAUGAACUUUAUAUGUAACUUGACUAGAAUUUCGUGUAGAUCCUCUUGGUUCUCUUUAACUUGCUGUUUAACAACUUCAACUUAAUGUUUGUUCAGUUCUGGACCAAUUUUGAAAUAUGCAUAUGAGGACUUACCGGAAUUGUUAUAUGUUGUUCCCGGCCUCAUUUAAACUUGCCUUGAUGUGUGGUUCUUGUUUGCAUCAUCUCUUACCAUGAGUAGCUCCAUGAAGCUUUGUCAUGCAUCAUGCUUGUUGUGCAUCAUGUCUUGUUCAUGUGUGGUGUGUUUACCAUGUUGUGUGCUUCUUCUCGAUAGUUCCCGUUUCGUUGCGAUCGUGAGGAUUCGUUCGUCUACGCUUGGUUCGUCUUCGUGGCUUCAUCUUCUUCAUGGACUCGUUCUUCUUCCUAGCAGGAUUUCAGGCAAGAUGACCGCUACCCUGGAUCUCACUACUAUCAUUGCUAUACUAGUUGCUUCGUUUUGUCGCUUUGCUGCGCUUCCUAUAACUUGUUCUUCAAGCCUCCCAAAUUGCCAUGAACCUCUAACCUUUGACACCCUUCCUAGCAACCCGUUGUUUGGCUAUGUUACCGCUUUGCUCAGCCCCUCUUGUAGCAUUGUUAGUUGCAGGUGAAGUUGAAGAUUGCUCCAUGGUGGACAGGGUUAUGUUGGGAUAUCACAAUAUCUCUUAUAUUACUAAUGCAUCUAUAUAUUUGGUAAAGGGUGGAAGGCUCGGCCUUAUGCCUGGUGUUUUGUUCCACUCUUGCCGCCCUAGUUUCCGUCAUACCGGUGUUAUGUUCCCGGAUUUUGCGUUCCUAACACGGUCGGGUGAUUUAUGGGACCCCCUUGACAGUCACUUUGAAUAAAACUCCUCCAGCAAGGCCCAACCUUGGUUUUACCAUUUGCCUCACCACCACCUACUUUUCCCUUGGGAGUCGCUCUCUCGAGGGUCAUCUUUAUUCAGCCCCCUCGGGCCAAUGCUUGUCUAAGUGUUGGUCCGAACUAGAGUCCUUUGCAGCGCCCCCUCAGGGAAACUUGAGGUCUGGUUUUAGUUGUACGGAGUGCUCAUCCGGUGUUGCCCUGAGAACGAGAUAUGUGCAGCUCCUAUCGGGAUGUCGGCGCAUCGGGCGGGCUUGCUGGUCUUGUUUUACCAUUGUCGAAAUGUCUUGUAAACCGGGAUUCCGAGACUGAUCGGGUCUUCCUGGGAGAAGGAAUAUCCUUCGUUGAUCAUGAGAGCUUAUCAUGGGCUAAGUUGGGACACCCCUGCAGGGUAUAAACUUUCGAGAGCUGUGCCCGCGGUUAUGUGGCAGAUGGGAAUUUGUUAAUGUCCGGUUGUAGAUAACUUGACACCAGAUCCGAAUUAAAACGCAUCAACCGCGUGUGUAGCCGUGAUGGUCUCUUCUCGGCGGAGUCCGGGAAGUGAACACGGUGUCUGGGUUAUGUUUGACGUAAGUAGGAGUUCAGGAUCGCCUCUUGAUCAUUGCUAGCUUCACGACCGUUCCUUUGUUUCUCUUCUCGCUCUCAUUUGCGUUUGUUAGCCACCAUACUUGCUUAGCCGCUGCUGCAACCUCACCACUUUACCCUUCCUUUCCCAUUAAGCUUUGCUAGUCUUGAUACCCAUGGUAAUGGGAUUGCUGAGUCCUCGUGGCUCACAGAUUACUACAACAACAGUUGCAGGUGCAGGUUACACGAUGAUCAUGACGCGAGAGCGAUGCUUGCUUGUUUUUGAGUUCUUCUUCUGCUUCUUCUUCGAUCAGGGGAUAGGUUCCAGGUCGGCAGCCUGGGCUAGCAGGGUGGAUGUCGUUUGAGUUUCUGUUUGUGUUUCGUCCGUAGUCGGAUGGUGCUCUUAUGUAAGAUGAUGUUGUAUUCGUGUGGCAUUGUAUGCCUUUUGUAUGUAUCCCUAUCUAUUAUGUAAUGUUGAUGUAAUGAUAUCCAUCUUGCAAAAGCGUUUCAAUAUGCGGGUCUAUCCUUGGUGGGACCUUUGAGUUCCUUUUGGAUAGGGUCGCAUAUUGGGCGUGACAAGUUGGUAUCAGAGCCUCGACCGACCCUAGGAGCCCCCUUGAUUGAUCGUGUAGUUUGGCCGUUGUCGAGUCUAGAAAAAACUGAUUUCGGAGUCUAGUUAUAUUGGAGAGUAGGAAUUCUUUUUACUCCUCUGCCCCUUCGUCGCUCUGGUAAGGAAUCUUGACGUAGGUGUUUUGAAUUACUCCUCUUCCCCUUCAAAUUUUUCUUUAGGAUCACGCAUUUGGUUUUCUGAUCGUUGGUUCUCAGCUCUUUUGAUCCGGUGCAUCUCUCGUCAAAGUGAUUCGACCCUCUUUGUUUUUGCAAGAUCAAUCCUCAGUUGUCUUUGUUUUUCCCACCCGCCCACCCCAUUUCAUCUCGGAACUGGAGUCCGUAAUCGAGUACCCAUCCUACUCGUGUGAAAUCUUUGUUUUCUUUCCUCAAUGAUUUCAAUCGGUGUUUUCUCUUCAAGAUAUUCGUAGCUUCCCCUUCCAAGUUGCCUUUGUUUUCCCGCCCUCCCACCCUCUUCUUCCCGGAGUCUGAGUCUCUCUCGACCAUCAAUUUCAUUCAUGUGGAGUCUUUUCAGUCUUCCCUCAUUUAUUUCAACCAGUGAAUUCUCUUUUGUUUGACAUUCUUCAUCUCUUUUCUUUCCGGUGGACUUAAUUCAAGUUUUUCGGGCUGAUCACAUUCUUUUCCUUUCGUAAAGUGUUCUCCUUGCUCGUUUGCCUCUCGCCAUUCAAUCAUUCCGGAGUUCGGAAGACAUCUCAAGAGAUUCGUCUAUGUUCGAAUUAAUUCGAGGUUGUCACCUCAUUCAAAUAUUUCAAUUGUUCCGGUGCAUCAUCUAUCUGUUCAACAUCCCUUUCCAAUGGUGUUCUAUUUUAGUGGGCCCUAACCCACAGGUCUUUCCCAGGAUCUUACCUGACUCUUCUAAUUUCCCCGGAGUUUUUCUCAAUUCUUUUCAAUUGUGACGUAAGAAUGGAUCCCAUUAGUCACAUGCCUUCUCCAAGAUCUCUUUCAAAUUCUUUUCAUUGUUGGCUCAACCUUUUCGCUUUUCAUUCUCCCGGAGUAUCUCAGUAAUUUUGGUGGUGUUUCUCGUCGUCAUUUGAAGACCGAAGAAGAGCUUUUCCUCUAAAUUUUGUCCGUUCUCUCGAAGUUUCGCGGUUUUAGCUUCUUAUUAUCCUCUCAAUUAUUCCAUUUGUCAGUUAUUCUUUUCACCCAUCCGGAGUGUGUCAGAAGUUGUUUUCCCGUUUCUUUUCACCGGAGGCCAUCAUUCCAGUUAUCGUUCUCUAUUUAUCCCGGUGCUUCGUUCAAGUGUUCUUUAAUCAGCUCAUGAUCUCUUUGUUCUUUGCAUCUAAAUCCCCUCUAGCUUAUUGGUUCUUUUAAUUCUUCCCGGUGAUUCAUUCUCUUUCAUCAGUCAUUUUCGAAUUCUUAUGGUGGUUCGUUCAAGAUUCUUUUUCCUAGAUUAUCAUUUUAAUUCAUUAGUUUCUUUCCAAUCCUGCCGGUGGUUCAUGAAGAGUUUCUCAAGUUUUGUGCUAUAACCCCCCCUUAAUCCUUUUCAAGAAGAAUAAGUAGUAUGCAAAAUCCAUUGAUUGUCAUCAAUUUAAGUUGAUGAAGGAUAAUCAUACAAUAAAUCUUAUUCUUAUUUCAUCCAAUGAGUAAUCCCUUCCUUCAGAGUUUGUUCUUGAGGAAUAAAUUCUAGUUCUAAGUGUUCUCAUCUUUUCUUUUCCGGAGUCCAAAUUUCCUCGGCCAUCUCGUCGGAACCUCCAUCUAAAUCAUCGCAAGGCUUUAAUCUUAUUCUUUCAUCCUUCAAAUCUAUCCCUUUAUCCAUUUGUUUACCGGAGUUCUUCAUGGUGGUUCUUCAUGAUUUAAUUUAUUCUUCAAGAAGUUCAUCAAGAUUCUUGUUGGAGGAAUUCAAGUAUCUUUUCUUCUUGCAUCUCGAAGUGCAAUUAAUUCUCUGUGUUCUUUUGCAGCGGAGUUUUGCAUUUCUUUGUUCUUCUCAGCUAUCCAAUCAUUUCCGUUUGUGGUUGGUUAUCACCUCAUAAUUUUGAGAUGUUAUCCAUAAGUCCACGACAAGCUUAUUCUUUUCAUUGUUGAAUUUUCUCAACAACUCUGUUCAAUCCUUCCUUCUAAGUUCUUUUCAUUCAACUCUUUCAAUUCUUCCGGAGGCAUUGCAUUGUUCAUCUCGUCAAGUAUCAUUCCAUCCUCUCAAGUUCGUGUUCUAUUCCUUUCAUUUUAGUCGGAGUGCUACCUAAAUCCUUUCAGUCUUAUUCAUUUCUUAUCUCGUUCUAACCAGACUGAUUUCAUAGUCUAUCUUGUUCCUUCAGCUUUUGACUCUCGUCAUUCUCUUCAUUCCUCACUUCUUCUCGAGUGAUCUCGAUUCAUUACUUCUUCUCUUGAGUUCUUGUUUCACCUCAUCCCUUUUCCCUUCCGUCUCGGUCAUAAGAUCUCGGGACGAGAUCUCUUGUUAGUGGAGGAGUGUUGUAACGCCCCGGAUUCGUUGUGCCAGGUGUCCGCCAGUUAUUCGCCGUCGUUGCCAUGACUUUUGCUUGCGUGUUGCAUAUUGCCAUGUCAUCAUGUGCAUUUCAUUUCGCAUUCGUGUUCGUUUCAUGCAUCCGAGCAUUUUCCCCAUUGUCCGUUUUCAAUCCGACACUCCUAUGUCCUCCGGCGUCCCCUUUUUGUCUCUCGUUGUGAGCGGGUAUUAAACGUUCUCGGAAUGGACCGAGGUUUGCCAAGCGGCCAUGGUAUAGCACCGGUAGACCGCCUGUCAAGUUUCGUGCCAUUUGGAGGUCGUUUGAUACUCCAACGGUUAACCGGGUAACCGCAAAGGCCUCUUUUAUUUGCAGCCCAACACCCCCUUCAAAGUGGCCCAAAACCCAGCAAACUCCCCUCCAUGCUCUCGGUCGUUCGAUCACGAUCGCGUGGCCGAAAACCGCUCCUCAUUUGGACACUCCUUGCUCCCUCUACCUAUAUAUAUGUGCACCUCCCCCGAAAUCCCGCUCUAACCCUAGUCAUCUUCCUCCCGCCGCCGCCGGACACGUCCACCCCGGCCGGACAUGUCCGCCAGCCACGUCGCUCGACCAAUGGCAGCUCGCCACGUCACCCCGCCGCCGCUACCCUCCACUCGCGUCGCGCCAAGUCACCACCGCCAGCGCCUCACCUCGCCGCCGCCNNNNNNNNNNNNNNNNNNNNNNNNNNNNNNNNNNNNNNNNNNNNNNNNNNNNNNNNNNNNNNNNNNNNNNNNNNNNNNNNNNNNNNNNNNNNNNNNNNNNNNNNNNNNNNNNNNNNNNNNNNNNNNNNNNNNNNNNNNNNNNNNNNNNNNNNNNNNNNNNNNNNNNNNNNNNNNNNNNNNNNNNNNNNNNNNNNNNNNNNNNNNNNNNNNNNNNNNNNNNNNNNNNNNNNNNNNNNNNNNNNNNNNNNNNNNNNNNNNNNNNNNNNNNNNNNNNNNNNNNNNNNNNNNNNNNNNNNNNNNNNNNNNNNNNNNNNNNNNNNNNNNNNNNNNNNNNNNNNNNNNNNNNNNNNNNNNNNNGCCUCCCUGGUCGGCCGCCCGCGUGCCUCCGCCGCCGGCCGCGCCUUCUCCCGCCCGCCAGCCUCCAUGGCCGGCGCCGCCGUGAGCCUCACCGGAGUCGGCCGAGCUCACCGACCCCGUGGCUCCCGGCCUAGAUCCGGCCGGAUUCGGGGAAGGAGACCCCGGAUCCGCCUCCCCAGCCUCGUCCCCGACCUCUCCGGCGCCUUUCCGGCCUCCUUCAUCAUCUCCGGCCAACUCCGGCGGAAUCUCCGGCAUACCUCGAGAACCAUGCAGAUUUGAAGGUUGUCCCCGAUUUUGCCUAAGUCCCGAGUUUUUUACAUCAUCAUGCCAUGUUCAUCGCAUCAUAACUUGCUACAUACUGCUCCGUUUCAUGCGUGUAAUAUGUCAAAUUGUUCGUCUCGAUGAGUCUUCAUUUCUGUCCAUUGCAUCAUUUUCAUUUGAGCUCAUCUUGGUGCCCGAAAUGCUGUUGGAAGAGUGCACGUUGAUGUUAAUCUGCUAGAACUGUUAUAACUUGCACUUUUGUCAUUUUUGCCAUGUUUGAUGUGUGCAUCCUAUGAGGUUGAUGUCUACAUGUGUUUUGAUCUAUGCCAUGCCAUAUUUCCAGAGGUGCUAUCCAUGUAUUUUUUUGAUUUGUGUGCUGAGUGCAUCAAGCUUGUUAAGGAGGGUACUUGUUGUUGCUGUUUUCCUGACAGAUUCUGUGAUAUUUUGUUGCUAUGUAAACAUGCUUCUGCUAGUUAUUCUAUGCAUAAUCUGGAGAUGUUCACUAAGGAUGUUUUGUUAUACAUGUUAUGCUCUAUCCAUUCAUGCCCCUGGGUGCAUUUAUAGCCUUCUGUAGGUUGUUGUUAUCUUGCUCCAAAGAUGCUAAAUAAUGUUGUUGUCAGCCUGUUAACAUUAAGUUUAGUUUUGGCCAUGUGCUUUUCUAGUGAUCCAUGCAUCCUAUGAACUUAUUCUUGCCAUGAUUAGCUUCAUAAACAUGUAUUCUUACUGUUGGUUGCCUUGCCAUGCCAUGUAUUGCUCUGUGGUGAGUGUUUCAAGCUCACCAACAUGCCUACUUAUUGUUGUUCCUGCCAUGUAUGAAUCUGUCAUAUAACUUGCCAUGUUUACAUGGGUGCCAUUUUAUCUUCUGAUCCUUUUCGGCUCAUGGUCAGUAAGGGACUUUUGUUCUAUGCAAUUAGUAGAUUCAUGACAUGCCUUUGUGUGCCAUGAUAAGUUCCUGUAACAUGUUGUUUGAUAGCUCUAAACAUUGCAACCUGAUGUUAUUUCCUGAUAAGUCUGAAACUGUUAUUAUUUGCAAUCUUCCCAUGUCCUUUUGAGCAUGUUCUAGUUGUUUUUGGAGAUAGCUCAGUGUUCAUGUUUUGUUAUGCUUUACCUGUACUUCAUGCCCAUGCCUUUUGUUAUUAUGUUGGGAUGAGUAGCAUAUUGUUUGAUGCUUGCUAGAUGCCUAGUCGCUGUUUUGGACAGAUUGUUGUUAUGACUUGUAUAGAGUGUAUGUGUUGAACCGUUGCUCUGUUUUGAGUGUGCUCUAUAUGAAACUUGCUUGAUUUUGCAUGUAGUUUCAUAUUAUCAUGUUGCAUCCUUGUUUUGAGGUGUUUGCUUGAUGUUUGGAUGCAUUUUGCAUCAAUGCCAUGUUUAACUUGUUUUGCUCAUAUCUUCUAGGCCGUAGCUCCGAACUAAAUGAACUUUAUAUGUAACUUGACUAGAAUUUCGUGUAGAUCCUCUUGGUGCUCUUUAACUUGCUUUUUAACAACUUCAACUUAAUGUUUGUUCAGUUCUGGACCAAUUUUGAAAUAUGCAUAUGAGGACUUACCGGUAUUGUUAUAUGUUAUUCCCGGCCUCAUUUAAACUUGCCUUGAUGUGUGGUUCUUGUUUGCAUCAUCUCUUACCAUGAGUAGCUCCAUGAAGCUUUGUCAUGCAUCAUGCUUGUUGUGCAUCAUGUCUUGUUCAUGUGUGGUGUGUUUACCAUGUUGUGUGCUUCUUCUCGAUAGUUCCCGUUUCGUUGCGAUCGUGAGGAUUCGUUCGUCUACGCUUGGUUCGUCUUCGUGGCUUCAUCUUCUUCAUGGACUCGUUCUUCUUCCUAGCGGGAUUUCAGGCAAGAUGACCGCUACCCUGGAUCUCACUACUAUCAUUGCUAUGCUGGUUGCUUCGUUCUGUCGCUUUGCUGCGCUUCCUAUAACUUGUUCUUCAAGCCUCCCAAAUUGCCAUGAACCUCUAACCUUUGACACCCUUUCUAGCAAACCGUUGUUUGGCUAUGUUACCGCUUUGCUCAGCCCCUCUUAUAGCAUUGUUAGUUGCUGGUGAAGUUGAAGAUUGCUCCAUGGUGGACAGGGUUAUGUUGGGAUAUCACAAUAUCUCUUAUAUUACUAAUGCAUCUAUAUAUUUGGUAAAGGGUGGAAGGCUUGGCCUUAUGCCUGGUGUUUUGUUCCACUCUUGCCGCCCUAGUUUCCGUCAUAUCGGUGUUAUGUUCCCGGAUUUUGCGUUCUUAACGCGGUCGGGUGAUUUAUGGUACCCCCUUGACAGUUCGCUUUGAAUAAAACUCCUCCAGCAAGGCCCAACCUUGGUUUUACCAUUUGCCUCACCACCACCUACUUUUUCCUUGGGAGUCGCUCUCUUGAGGGUCAUCUUUAUUCAGCCCCAUCGGGCCAAUGCUUGUCUAAGUGUUGGUCCGAACUAGAGUCCUUUGCAGCGCCCCCUCAGGGAAACUUGAGGUCUGGUUUUAGUUGUACGGAGUGCUCAUCCGGUGUUGCCCUGAGAACGAGAUAUGUGCAGCUCCUAUCGGGAUGUCGGCGCAUCGGGCGGUCUUGCUGGUCUUGUUUUACCAUUGUCGAAAUGUCUUGUAAACCGGGAUUCCGAGACUGAUCGGGUCUUCCUGGGAGAAGGAAUAUCCUUCGUUGAUCGCGAGAGCUUAUCAUGGGCUAAGUUGGGACACCCCUGCAGGGUAUAAACUUUCGAGAGCCGUGCCCGCGGUUAUGUGGCAGAUGGGAAUUUGUUAAUGUCCGGUUGUAGAUAACUUGACACCAGAUCCGAAUUAAAACGCAUCAACCGCGUGUGUAGCGUGAUGGUCUCUUCUCGGCGGAGUCCGGGAAGUGAACACGGGUUCUGGGUUAUGUUUGACGUAAGUAGGAGUUCAGGAUCACCUCUUGAUCAUUGCUAGCUUCACGACCGUUCCUUUGUUUCUCUUAUCGCUCUCAUUUGCAUAUGUUAGCCACCAUACUUGAUUAGCCGCUGUUGCAACCUCACCACUUUACUCUUCCUUUCCCAUUAAGCUUUGCUAGUCUUGAUACCCAUGGUAAUGGGAUUGCUGAGUCCUCGUGGCUCACAGAUUACUACAACAACAGUUGCAGGUGUAGGUUUCACGAUGAUCAUGAUGCGAGAGCGAUGCUUGCUUGUUUUUGAGUUCUUCUUCUACUUCUUCUUCGAUCAGGGGAUAGGUUCCAGGUCGGCAGUCUGGGCUAGCAGGGUGGAUGUCGUUUGAGUUUCUGUUUGUGUUUCAUCCGUAGUCGGAUGGUGCUCUUAUGUAAGAUGAUGUUGUAUUCGUGUGGCAUUGUAUGCCUUUUGUAUGUAUCCCUAUCUAUUAUGUAAUGUUGAUGUAAUGAUAUCCACCUUGCAAAAGCGUUUCAAUAUGCGGGUCUAUCCUUGGUGGGACCUUCGAGUUCCUUUUGGAUAGGGUCGCAUAUUGGGCGUGUCAGCCAUCAUAUGUAGUUACAUAUUGAGUCAAUUAGACUAGUGGUGCUUGAACUUGGCACAAAUGGUCACUUUCAUGCUAGAACUCAUGGUACGCAUUGAAGUGGUCUAGCACAUUUACCAUGGAAGGUAGUGCGAACACGCGGCUUGCAGUGAACACACACACGAGGCUAGCCAACCAAGCAAAUGACCUUUGAUGUGCAAAGUGGUGCUUGUGAGAUCACCCCCCCACCGCCUCGCCCGGCCCCUCUCGGGCAACUCGGGGCUUAUCUCCCCCUCCCGUCGGUGUAACCCUCCCUCCUUGCGGCCACAGGAGGAUGGCGCUGGGCAAGCCUGUAGCACAACCAGGGAUUGUGGUGAUGGGGCUUGUGCUGCUCCUGCCAAACGGUGAAGAGCCAUGAAUGUUGCGCAGCGGCCCCUCCGACGAGGCCCCCUAUUUGGCGGCAAGUGACUGGGACGAUGUGGUGCUUCAUGGUCUUGUCGGGCAACCGACGGACCACCGGUGGAUUGGAGCCAUGGCAUGGCUGCCCUGGUGGCCGACGGUGCUAGAUCUAGCCCCUGCUUGUCUUCCCUGCUUGGUGUGCUUCCCUCGUGUCUGGAUCUUGGACGCGCUAGUUGGCUGGCCACUCCUCAGGCUGUGGGUGGAGCUAGGGUGGGGAUCUAGAUCAGGAGAAAUCCCUAGUUGGCUCACCGGUUUUCUUCAUGGGGACAUCGGUCAGGUCUCCCUACCUCUUCCCACCUCCCUUCCUCUCGGGUGAAAACCCUAACUACGAUGGGCGGUGAUGGCACACUUGGAACCGUGCCCUUCUUGAAGGCGUCGCCUUGAGAGCUAUGUGGUGGUGGGCAUCGUUUACGUUCGGCGGCAGCAGCAGAUGGCGUGCCCUUCUGCAUCCAAGCUUGUGCUUUUCCUCUUGUUUGUUAUGGUCGUGAGUUGUGUGCCAUUCAUCUGCUCUUGGAGAGCAUCGACACAUUUGGUGUGCGCUGGUCCGCUCUAAGUGACCACCCGAUGAUAUCCUCAAUGUUCUUAGGGAACUUUUUCAUCUUUCGACGGUGCGGCGCCUUACGAUCCGUCCAAGGAGGUUGUGGCCUCCUUCGGAGAUGGAGUUGGAUGGAUGUGUCGUGCUGAGGCCCUUUAUGUUUGGUAAUGGCAUGCCUUGGCGGUGCAUCUUCAUUCCCUCUCCAAAGUCGGCAUGCUUCCUUGUUCCAUGUCCGGUCGCCGUACAGGACCUCGAUGUCUUCAACUAUGUGUUUAUGUGUAUAUCCUUCAUGUGUGAAGUGUGAGGCUUAGUAAAUUGCUUUCCAGCGCCUCUGUAUUGUUCUGUUUUCUGAUUUUUUAUGUUGAAUGUUGUUGCUAUAUCCUGGUUGGUUGAUGGUUUUGUUAAUUCAAAGUCGGGCAAGGCUAGAGCCCUACAUAGACUCGGUUGCAUCUUUUCUCUAAAAAAAUAUGAUAACUGGGUACACAUUCUUUAUAUCCUUGAACUCACAAUAUAAAUUAGUAGCAGCUGCUGUUCGAACCACCAAACUAAGGCAAUCAAUCGGCCUACCCUACAACUCAAACUAACACCAAACCUCACCUUCUCUACUGGGCAAUAAACUCGAUUUUACCUCUUUAACCAGAAGACUUUGAUGUCUAAAAAAGAAAUUUAAUUUUUAUAGCAAUAAAAUUUAAGUUAGAAUACUCUCAAUAUAUAUAUAUGUGUGUGUCUAUAUAUAUAUAUAUAUAUAAUUAAAAUAACUUAUACCUAGUUUUAUUUUAAAAGAAUCACAUAUUAUUUGGAAAAGUUAUUUAUGUACUUUUCUAUUUAUUUUUAUUAUACAGAUAUAUAUAGUUUUUCAGAAACACACACAAACUUUAUUAAAACAGAUGAACACAUUUUAAAACAAACAUAUUCUUAAAGCUUGAACACAUUUAUACACCACAUGAUUAAUUAAAUAAAACCAUGAACAUAUUUAAACUUACAUGAGGAUUUAUUUAAAUAUAGAGAAAUUAAAAUUUCAUUACCAUUUUUUAAAUAUGCAACGAAUCAUAUGACCGGAAGCAAGGACUUGGUGGUGGACGUGCACAAGAUUCCUUCUAUGCCCACCAACGUCGAGUGGGGUGAUGCCUCGUCUUCUAAGGUAUUGGGUCUUGGCAAGGUUGUCAUUUCUCAUGAUCUAACGAUCGAGAAAGUCAUGCUUGUUGAGUCCCUUGCAUUCAAUCUACUUUCCAUUCGUCAACUUGCACUCAUGGGCUUUACCACUUUCUUUGAUAUUGAUACCGUGGCCCUCUUGUGGAGCAAGACUCUUAAAGUAGCCUUUGUUGGGCAUGUCGAGAACGGUCUUUAUGUGAUUAACUUUUCGGAGCAACCCACUAAGACCGCGCCAUGCCUAAUGGCUAAAGUUGAUGUGGGAUGGCUUUGGCAUCGCCGUUUAGCCCACAACAAUAUGAGAUCUUUGCAAAGUCUUCUCAAGGGGGACCAUGUUCGUGGACUAACAAAUGUUAGUUUUGCCAGAUAUCAUGCUUGCAGUGCUUGUAUUGAAGGAAAGCUUCAUGAGAAGGCUGACCCUCCCAUGACUAUCAUCUACUCGAAGAGACCCUUGGAGCUUCUUCACAUGGAUCUCUUUGGGCCUCCAUCCUUUGAUAGUCUUGGAGGUAGAAAGUAUUGCUUGGUGAUUGUGGAUGAUUAUUCAAGAUACACUUGGGUAUACUUCUUCAAGAGUAAGAGUGAGACUCAAUAAACCGUCAUCGACUUUGCAAAUGAAGCUCAACGUCAAUAUGAUGCAAAGAUCUUGACAAUAAGAAGUGACAACGGCACCGAGUUCAAGAACUACACCUUGGAUGAGUUUCUUAUUGAUGAGGGGAUCAAGCAUCAAUAUGCUACACCAUAUACCCCUCAACAAAAUGGUGUCGCGGAGAGGAAGUACCGGACGUUGAUGGAUGCGGCAAGGACCAUGAUGGUGGAGUUCAAGUCUCCAUACAACUUUUGGGCUGAAGCCAUCAACACAGCAUGUCAUGCAUCCAAUCGGCUCUAUCUCCGCAAAGGCUUGAACAAGACUCCUUAUGAAAUACUUACCGGUAACAAGCCCAACCUCAAGUACUUCCGGGUGUUCGGGUGUAAGUGUUUCAUUCUCAAGAAAGGUGUUCGCUUGUCUAAAUUUGAGGCUAUAGCUUAUGAGGGCAUAUUUGUUGGUUAUGCUACAAACUCUCAUGCUUACCGUGUCCUCAACAAGUUGAUAGAGGCGGAGGGUCCCGAUCUUUCGAUGAGAUGAUAACUGUCGAUUUGGUGGAGUCGAAUUUGACGAUCCGACUACAAACGUGCACGACAUUGCGCCUUAGGAGUCGCUAAACCAAUCUCCUGAGGUUACUGACGAUGCCGGAAGCACGAUCAGCCUGACCACGAAGGUCUAUUCCUGCAAGCAAUCGAAGAACAAGCAAGAAUAUGAUAAAGCAAUCUGAAUAUUGCGAAUAUGGGUGAAAUAUUGAUAAUGGUGGGGAUCCGAAAGUGGUCUUGGUCUGGUCGUUGGACACAAACGAAGUACACGAAGUUGCAAUGGCUAACUUUUAACUAAACAAAUCCCAAGCAAAAGGUACUAGAUGGAUCUACUUAUAUAGGGGCAAGGGGUGGCGGCCAAGGAGGUGGGAGAACGUCCCAAGGCAGCCUAAAAUCAACCCUAGGUCGUACAAGGCUCAUGGGCCCAAGUGGAGGUGAUGCAACACCUUUGGACUUGUUGUUUGACUCGGAUUCUGCUGCAGCGUCUGAUUGUUUCAUUGAUAUCUCAACGCUCCGGACGAAUUUGAAGGUGAAUCCAAUUGGGAUGAAAAGAUCACGAAAUCUACUUUCCAACAAAAAAAGAAUCACCCAAUUCUAUGUGGGGACCCCGACUCAUAAGUCGAGAUCACCGAAUGCACGUGUACAGUGAUCCCAGAGAUCAAUGCUCACUGAACACACAAAAGCUGAAUAACAAGAGUCUUACAUCCAUACAUACAGUAUUACACAAGUAGGACCAUUAUGGUCGAGUCUUGAGUAUAUCAUCACAGCGGAAAUCUUCGUCGAUAACUUGGACCCAUGCCAUCUGCCUUAACCCUACAUGCAUUCUGACUGGGAAACGUCCUAGCUCGCAUGUUCAUCUCCAAAGAACUCUUCUUCGAACUCCGGUUCUUCCAUGCCUGGCCAAUUAAAUAACCAGUGGCAAGCCAAUGAGUACUUUGAAUGUACUCGCAAGCAACCCAUGUUUUGGUUCAAGAUACAACAAUGCAUGAUAUAGGUAAGUUUUUGCAGAAAGCUAGUUUUCAGUGCAAUGACAUGUUCAACAACUUGUAAGACAUGCAUCAGGAGAAUUCAAGUAACCAUGAGGAAAGGUUACAGAUAUCAACAUAAAUAGAGUGGGCACCAACCGAACUCAAUCAUGUCAAGUCCUUUGACUUGACCCAAGUAGUUUUAUCAACACACACACUUGGUUUGUAAACAUGUGGACAUAGCCCAAGAGCGGUUACCCAACUGUCCUUGACCGUGAACACGGCUAUUCGAAUAGUUUUACACUCUGCAGAGGUUGCACACUUUACCCACAAGAUCCGGGGAACUUCCAUGUCAUCCACGACCCGCGAUACCUCAAGUACCCGAGGUAAGCACCCGAUCACUACCUUUCCCUAGACGACACUAACAAGGAGUCCACUCGUUGUUCCGUAUCCUCACGAUGUACAUCAUACGAGAAUCACUUGAGGUCGUAACAUCCGAGAGGGGACACAACGGUGUAUCCGAUGCCCUGUAAAGACAGUCAUGGCCGCCCUACCUGGCACGACCCCGUCCCGAGAGAGAGCACCAACUCUCCCCCGUCACUAGUAAUGCGGGCUCCAAGCUAGUGUCGACCUAGGUAAUCAAUAAUGCCCUUUCCCAUAUAAGGGUAGAGUGGUUGCGCAUGUAAGGUUGGAAUAACGGUCGCAACUUAAACCAAUCCGUUUUGGAAACAACACACACUUGCCUCGGUACACCACUUCGUCAUCAAGUGGCUACCCAACUCAUCAUCUCCCCCGGGCAUAAGUGGCACCCGAUGGGGUUUUCGAAAAGUCUUUUGAAAAUACUUUUCCUCCAACACCAUGCAUAUUCCCGUCCCUUUUUGCGUAGCACUACUUAGCAUCCUAUCUACUCCCACCGGCAUAACCCUCAUAAGAAGGUAGGGUCAUGCACAAUACAAGUAUCAACGAGGAAGUACGAUGGCAAACCAUCAAAGUGGUUACUACCUCAUCAUGAUUCCGUUGCAACAACAAUAUGGUGCUAUAUGACAUGCAUAAAAAGGGUUUCAUAGACAUGGUCAAAGGGAUGCUUGCCUGGUUCUUCAUAGUCUUCAAGUCUUCUGGUCCUUCUCCAAGUACUCUGUCUACUUCGUCAACUAAUGUCGGAAACAAUCAUAAUAAGCAACACAACAAGGCAGGAAAUAAAAGUGCUCUAAAAUAUGGAUUUGACUUUUCUAGGAUACCUUUGGUCAUAUGAGGGAUGACCAAAGUGGUUUCAUUAUGAUUUGAUCAAUGGACAUCUCUGAACAUUUCAAUAUGAUGGAAUCAAGGGGUUUAUGGAUUUGCAAGAAGUGUACAGAAAUAUAUUUUUGAAAAAUGAGCAAAGGCACCCAUUUAGCAAAUCAUGAUUUUAGAAGCAUUUGGGAGUUGGUUUCACUGGAUUUGGAGUUCAAAUGAAUUUCCUAUGAAUUUGCAAAGUUAACAAAUAUGAAGAAAUGGCUCAUUAUUUUAUGUGAUAUAGAAAGUAUUAUGAAAAAUGUUCAUAAACUAAGUUAUGAACUUAGAAGCAUCUAGGAAUUUGAAUCAUGGCAUUUGGAUCAAUUUUGAGCUCUUUGUGAUUUUUUAAAGUUCAUCACAGGAAUAGGAAAAACAAGAUAUGAUAAAUGAUUGUGAAGAAAAAGUCUCUGGAAAAAUGUGCAUGUGGCACCAACAGGUAGAUCAUGAUUUAUAGAGUCACUAGAAAUUUGAAUCAUCAAAUUUGGAGUCCAUUUGAAUUGUUUAUGGACUUUACAAGUCCACAGAAAAAGAAAAAGCAAAGGGAUUUACCUAAAUGGGCCUAAUCCGGCGGUGGCGGUGCGCACCGGGCGGGGUUUAGCGCCGAGGUGCAACUAGGCCGGCCCAUCGGCUCAGCCGCAUGCGCGCAGGGUCCACGCCGGAGGCGUAUUUGCCCAGUGCGUCUCCACUUAAACGGAGGGGCCCGCUAACGGGGUCACUGACCCGCGGGGUCCACCCGCAGGGUCGUCUCCCUCCUCCCGCGCGCGACGAAGGAGGCAGAGGAGGCGGGGCCGAGCGCUUGCCGGUGCCCGUUCCGGUGGCUCCGGUCACCUCCGGCGACGCCCAACACACCGGCGGGUUCAGGGGAUCAUGACGCAUCCGGAGAGGUGCGCCACGACCUAGGGGGCGGUCGGCUGCAAGCGCAACGUCGGCCGUGGCGGAGGCCGGCGACGAUGAAGAUGAGCAUGGCGAUGCGGCGAGGGAUGGACGAAAUGGAGCCCCGGGGUGGAUCAGCGGUGGUGAGGAGAGGGUUCUGGAAUGGCUAGAGGAAGGAGAGAGGGGUUAAGGCGCCGGAUUUUUGGCGGCGGUCGGCGGCUCGGCUCCGGCCAUAGAGGUGCAAGGAGGGCGCGGGGAGAGGAGUGAGUUGGUCGGGAUGAUGCACAGGAGGGAGAGGGAGCGAACAGAGGCCAAAGAGGGCUCGAGGGUGGCCUUUUAUGGCGGGGCGAUGGUGCACCGUGGACGGGGCACACGGGCGGCCACGGCGAUGGCUCUGGUGGCCAAGGGAGCGAGUGAGGAGGGCUCUACGGUGCUCGUGGGGAUGGUGCACGGUGCUGGGGAGGUAGAGGAGGAGCGGAGUGAGCUCGGGGCGGGACCCGUGCUUGAGCAGAGAGUGGCGGAGCUGGGCGGUGCUCUGUCCACGCGUGGGACGGGCAGGGGAGAGAGAGGAAGGAGGGGGCCGGCAGUGUGCGUGUUGCGGACGCCGAGGUGGUCCUGCUGGCGCGUGGGGGAGAGCUGAGGUCAUCGGAGACGUUGGGCAGAGAGCGGCUACAGUGCCUGGCCGCACUGUAGCGCGCUCUGGAGCGUGCAUUUGGCAUGCCAUGGCAUAUUAUAUGCCUUGUGGGCGCGGCCACUGAUGCCUGGUAGCUCUAGGGGGAGUAAAGAAGUGGGAGAUGGCCUUGGAUGCUCUGGGUGGCCAGUAGGAGAAGAGAGAGGUAGAAGAAGAGGGAGAGAGGGGCUGUCCAGGGAGGUAAAUGGGGGUAUUUCACCCCUUAAUCAUUGAGCAAUGGCCAGGGGAGGGUUACUGGAGGUAGGAGAGGACUAGGAAGGGCUGUGGUAAAAAGUUGAGGCCAUGGAGAAGAAUGGAAGUGGUCAAAACAGGGGUUCUAGUAAAAUGGCAGAAGGUGUUUGUUGCUGGUUUGGGCAAGAAGAUGAACUCCUAUUGUCAUGAGGCUUGACAGGGUCAAAUUGCAUGAGAUAAUAAUAGGUUCCACCAAGGUUGAGUCCAUUUGGGCAAAGUUGCCAAUGCAACUUUUGUAAACCCUAGAAAUUAGUAGAAAUGAACUUGUGUAGAUCUAGUUGAGCAAAUCACUUCUCCUUGAUGCACCACUUGGUGUAGUGUCAUCAUUUGAGGUUCUGAACAUGUACACAAAAGUUGAGAUCAAAAGGAGAAAGUUGCCAAUGUAGAGUUGUUCAAAUUUGGUUCUGGACAGGAAAGGUUUUGGGGCUCUUUGAUCAAGUUAACUUGUUCUCCAACUUGUGCCACUUGGUCUAGAUGAAUAAUUAGAACAUUUGAGCAUGUUCACAAGGUUUGAGAACAUUUGGAAAUGUUUGGCAAUGUAAAGUUGCUCAAACUUCAAAAUGGACAAAAAUGGUUUUGAGGGGAUCUGAUGAUGCUAUAUUGUUCUCCAAGUCAUGAGACUUGGCAAGAUCAUCUAAUAUGUCAUAUGUGACAUGCUAGAAUUUUCUUGGAAUUUGUGGAGAAUAUUUCCUUUGUAAAUAUUUCAAAAGAUUGAAAUAUCCAGAAAGGGUUUUUGAGGGAUUUGACCAAUAUUUUAAACAUGACCAUGUGUUGAAACUCUUAUAUAUGGACAAUAUAUGUCCACUGAGUUUCCCUAAUUUUUCACAAAUAUUUUUAAAACGAUAAAAUAAUUUUUCCCUAUUAAAGACCAUUUCUAGCCUUAAGCAAAAACUUUUAAAUAAAAUAGGAAAAUAAAUUUUAAAAUUAUAUUUUUGUGGUUUAUGGGUAUCCUAUAUCUAAUAGGAGUCAAAUAUAUUUUUGGAAAGAUUUUUACUGCCCUUAAUUAAGUACUUGCAGUGCAAAUCUCAAUUCAGGGGUUUUUGGAAAACUACUUUUUGAAAAUACUAAUUGGCAAAAUUAUUUUUGUAAGAAAUUAUUUUUAUGUCCUAUACACAUGGCUGAUCAUUGGUCAAGGUUUUUGGAUCAAGGGGAAGGAGUAUAAGGGUUGGAGAAUUUAUUUGAUUUUAGAGCACUUGCAAACAACAGCCAAACAUUCAAUCAAAGCAAAGACAAAACACUCAAAAGUUUUUGUCAAACCAGAUUUUAGCAUGAUUUAUUGACUUAAGUGUUGUGGCAUGAAAAUCAGGGUGUGACAUUCUAAGUCCGUAUGAAAAAGUUGUUGGCAUUUUGAGUCAGGUAUGUCUGUGCAGUCCAAAUCUGAAUCCAGAACGUGAGAGACUUGGACUCUAUCUUCUCUUGGCCCAAAAGUGACGUGAGAGGACUUUUUGAAUAGAACCUAAACUUCUCCUUUUCCCUUAUCUUCAUAUGUGGAUUGUACAAAUGUCCCAUACACCUGCAAUUAGACAAAACACAAAAGUGUGUGAAGUAUUUUUGUUCUGGAUAACAUAAAUAGGUUAUUGAAUAGUUUGCACUAGAAAUCACCUGACAAAUAUGCAUGUAUGCAAUAUUUUUGGUCGUAUCCAAGGUAGACAUGUCCUCAUCAUCCUCCCCUUCUUGAAAACAAAGCCGUCCUCGGUGUUGCUUAAUCUGAAAUGUGGCUAACAAAGGAGACAAUGUGUACAUGUUGUAUAUGAAUAUGUCAUCCAUUUUUACUUUCCUUUGUUUUUGCACAUAUGACACAUGUAUGCAUGAGUAACUUUCAUAGUUCAUAAAAUAUAUAGCCAAAAUAUUAUCACAAGAAGUAGAAGGCAUGAAAAUAUUGCAACUCAGUUUGCACAUAUAAGUGAAGCUCUUAUUCAUUUCAAAAGAUUGACAAUGUUCAUCAUUAAACCAUCCCAACAUUGGUGAAUAAACCUUACUUGCAUCAAAUUUACAUGCUACAACAUGCUUAAAUAAGCAAACAUGCAAUAAGUCAUUCGACACAGAAUCAUCACCAAGAUUAGAGGUCAUAUCAAAAUGAUUAAACAUUGAUUCUUUUGCAUCAACAGUUAAUUUAAUGGGUGCACUCAAAAUUGUUGGUAUUUCAGUUGUUUGAUCACAUGACGCAUUCAUGACAGUACCAAGAUUCUCUAAAAUAGGUGAUGUGCUCAAAUCAUCAUGUAACUCAACACAUGAUGCAUUCAAGUUAACUAGGGAUGCAUCAUUCUCAUGUGAAGUUAUAUCAUCAAUACCUUUACUGUUACCUUGUCGCUAAGACAUAGCUGAUGUAGGUAUGGACGUUGACAAUGCACCAUACUCUUGAGAUGAUGACGCGCUCACAAUCCGAGGUGGGGCUGCUCUAGUAGGUGCAACGGUGGAGGAACCAAACGGCGGUGGUGAGCAUGAACUGGAAUAGUAGUUGUUGUAGUCACCCAAUGCAUCCUCCUGUAUAUGUCUCUCAAAGGUACAAGCGCGAACAUACAUACCAGUAAUGCAACGAGGAAUAUAGUGAAAUAUUGCACGGAUAUCAUGGUUCAAACCACCAAAAAAUCUAUUCAUUGUAUCAUCCUCAGAUUCUUCUAUGUCACAAUGAUGCAUAUAAGAUUUGAACUCUUGAUAGUAAGCAUGAACAGUGUUACUGCCUUGUUUUAAUUGUUCCAAUUUGCUAAGCAAUUCACGAUGAUAGUAAGGAGGAAAAAAUUGUUAUCUCAAUACAGCUUUCAAAACUUUCCAAGUUGUGGGUUGGUUAUCAAUGUUUUUCUUACAAUGUACACUCCACCAAAUAGAAGCAAAACCAGUAAAUGCUCUAGUGGUAGCUUGUACUCUCUCAAGUUCAGAAAAAUCAUGGUGAUUAAAAACUUCUUCUAAUUCAAGCUCCCAAGCUAGAUAAAUAGCAGGAUUAAAUCUACCCUCAAAUGAUGGUAAAGACAUAACCUGACCAUAUGCUUGUGUGUGUUGUCCCAACUCUCGUGAUGGUGAAGAUGUGUCCGUCGUCCAAGAACUUCUAUCGCAGGAACCUGUCAUGAUUAGUAGAAACAAGAAACAAAAUUUGAGAAUAAUGUUCCUAUGAACUACUAGGACGUGGUUAUAAAGUGCUCACAGUAAAGCAAAUAUCAAUAUCUUACAAGUUCUUACCAUGCGGCAGGUGGUGACAGACAACCAGCGGUGUCAAAUAACUCCGAAGAUUGUGUAAAGGGAUUGCUAGGGGAACGUACGUAUACACGGUGUAGAAAUAUGUGGAGCUGGGUUGGAUAUAUAUGGUAGCAAAAGAUUAGCAAUAAUCAAUUCAAAGAUGCAAUGUUGAAUAAACGCUCAACAACGGUACUGUGCUGGUCCUAGGAGAGACCGGACUAGAGACGCGAGCCUAGAACACUGAUGAGGUCAUGGCGUAGCACAACUAGCAUCAAUGAAGGAUACUAAGUAGCUCUGGACAGCAAGAUAUAAGUGAAGAUCACAACGGUAGUAAAAGAUAAUGAUGAAAAACAACUGCCAAGCAGGAUAUACAACAACUCUCUCUCCAACUUUCCUCUUGAAAAGUUUGAGCCAAUUUUCUGAUAACUUUUUUCAAAGAAUAUUGAUAUGAGGAGUCAAAGAAUUCUAAAAUUGGCCUGAAAACUGGAACAAACUGUAUGCGCAAACUUCGGAGGGCCAAAAGACCUAUUUAGAAGCUGAUUUUGAGGUGCCAAAUAUUGAACUAGCUUCUGCAACUAUUUAGAUGCGGCUCAUCGCUAGCUUUCAUUUGAAUACUCGCAGAGUCAAAACGGACUUCGUAUGAGGAAGUUAUGCCUGUUUUACUAAACAGUGCGUAAAACAGAUUCCAAUCUGAAUUCAACUACGAGAUUGAGUCUAGAUAGAUCCAAAUUUUGUUUUUUUCUUCUUCUCUUUUUUUCCUAACACCUUUUCUUUUCUUUUUCUUUCUCUCUUUUUUUCUCUGACUUUUUUUUACUUUUUCUCUGUCUUUUUUUCUCUCUUUUUUCCAAGACAAACUAGAUAAGAUGCAGAUUGGAUCAGGCGAAGAUGUGAAUGAACUCAAUUAUGAUUAUGACAAUGAACAGUGCGUAGCACGUGGUGGAAAUUGAUGGACGGGAUGGUGGACAGCGGAAGGGAUAAUGAUGCAGCGGCGGCGUGACUAAUGUGAACAGAACUCGAAACUCUAAAGGAACUAGACACUAAGACCAACAACUCGACACGACGAUGCAACCGAUAAUUCAAUAAUGCAAACAAUGAAAAGAAAAUUGCAAAGGCUUGGACUGGCUAGGACAAAGGAUGAAUAGAUCCAACUUUUUUUUGGCUUUUGCUUGGACAAUAUGUAAGAAAAUAAAUCGAAUCUAGGGAUAAUUGGAAAAUCUCACCGAGCAACCUGAAAACUGAUACCACUUGAUAGAGGUGGAGGGUCCCGAUCUUUCGAUGAGAUGAUAACUAUCGAUUUGGUGGAGUCGACUUUGACGAUCCGACUACAAACGUGCACGACGUUGCGCCUUAGCAAUCGCUAAACCAAUCUCCUGAGGUUACUGACGAUGCCGGAAGCACGAUCAGCCUGACCACGAAGGUCUAUUCCUGCAAGCAAUCGAAGAACAAGCAAGAAUAUGAUAAAGCAAUCUAAAUAUUGCGAAUAUGGAUGAAGUAUUGAUAAUGGUGGGGAUCCGAAAGUGGUCUUGGUCUGGUCGUUGGACACAAAUGAAGUACACGAAGUUGUAAUGGCUAACUUUUAACUAAACAAAUCCCAAGCAAAAGGUACUAGAUGGAUCUACUUAUAUAGGAGCAAGGGGUGGCGGCCAAGGAGGUGGGAGAACGUCCCAAGGCAGCCUAAAACCAACCCUAGGUCGUACAAGGCUCAUGGGCCCAAGUGGAGGUGAUGCAACACCUUUGGACUUGUUGUUUGACUCAGAUUCUGCUGCAGCGUCUGAUUGUUUCAUUGAUAUCUCAAUGCUCCGGACGAAUCUGAAGGUGAAUCCAAUUGGGCUGGAAAGAGCACGAAAUCUACUUUCCAACAAAAAAGAAUCACCCAAUUCGGAGUCCGUAUGAAAAAGUUGUUGGCGUUUCGACUCAGGUAUGUCUGUGCAGUCCAAAUCUGAAUCCAGAACGUGAGAGACUUGGACUUUAUCUUCUCUUAGCCCAAAAGUGACGCGAGAGGACUUUUGGAAUAGAACCUAAACUUCUCCUUUUCCCUUAUCUUCAUAUGUGGAUUUUACAAAUGUCCCAUACACCUGCAAUUAGACAAAACACAAAAGUGUGUGAAGUAUUUUUGUUCUAGAUAACAUAAAUAGGUUAUUGAAUAGUUUGCACUAGAAAUCACCUGACAAAUAUGCAUGUAUGCAAUAUUUUUGGUCAUAUCCAAGGUAGCCAUGUCCUCAUCACAAGUCCACCGGACUCAUUGAAGAGACGUGUAACGUGGAGUUUGAUGAAAAUAACGGCUCCCAAGUGGAGCAAAGUGGUACUUGUGAUGUAGGUGAUGAAAUUCCUCCCCAAGCCAUAAGAAGAAUGGGUGUGGGUCAUAUCCUACCCAUUGAGGAACCCCUUAUGGCUAAAGGAGAAGGACAAUGCUCCACUCAAGUGGAGCCAUCACCAACCCAAGACCCACACGCUUCCGAAGAACAAAGUGAAGGCCCUCAACCUCAUGAACAAGACCAAGGGCAAGAUCGACCUCAAGAUGGUGGUGAACCACCAAAUGAUGCCCAAGGCCAAGUUCUCCCCCUCGAGCAAGUUCAAGAUCAAGAGCAAGCUCAAGAUCUAGAACAAGCUCAAGAAGACGCUCAAGAUAAUCAAGUUAAUCCUCCUCCUUCCACAUCCGAGGAGGAAUUAGAGCUUCGUGCCGUGAAGAUUGCUUCCAAGCUCACCACCCAAGGUCAUCUCAUGGAGAACGUGGUUGGAAGCCUAAGAAAGGGGGUAAGCACUCGUAAACAAUUAGCAAACUAUUGUGAACAUCACGCGUUUGUCUCUUGUGUUGAACCCCAAAAGGUCUAUGAGGCGCUCGAAGAUUCGGAUUGGCUCAAUGCCAUGCAUGAAGAACUCAACAACUUCGAGUACAACAAGGUGUGGCAGAUUGGUGCCAAGGCCGUCGGGGAACCACAACGUCAUUGGAACCAAGUGGAUAUUCAAGAACAAGCAAGAUGCUCAUGGGAACAUUAUUCGCAACAAGGCAAGAUUGAUAGCACAAGGCUACUCCUAAGUCGGGGGUAUCGACUACGGUGAAACCUUUGCUCCCGUUGCUCGCCUUGAAUCCAUUCGUUUGUUGAUCGCUUAUGCUUCCCAUCACAACUUUAAGUUACAACAAAUGGAUGUGAAGAGUGCUCUUCUUAAUGGUCCUAUUAAUGAGUUGGUUUAUGUCAAGCAACCCCCCGGGUUCGAGGAUCCCUACUUCCCGGAUCAUGUGCAUCAACUCGAUAAGGCACUCUAUGGCCUUAAGCAAGCCCCACGUGCGUGGUAUGACCACCUUAGCGAGUUGUUACAAGAUCGUGGAUUUGAGGUUGGGCAAAUCGAUCCCACUCUUUUUACUAAGAAGGUCAAAGGGGAGUUGUUUGUAUGCCAUCUUUGGUUCCCCUAACAAAGCUUUCAAUGAGGAAUUUGCCGCUCUCAUGACCUCUAAGUUCAAGAUGUCUUUGAUGGGAGAGUUGAAGUUCUUUCUUGGUUUCGAUAUCAAGCAAAGAAGAGAAGGUACCUUCAUCAACCAAUCCAAAUACACUCAAGACAUGCUCAAAAGAUUCAAGCUAAGUGAGGUCAAGUCGGCUUCUACUCCAAUGCCUACCAAGUGCCAACUUGACAUUGAUCCCAAUGGUAAAGCGGUGGAUCAAAAGGUAUAUCGCUCCAUGAUUGGCUCCUUGCUUUACCUUUGUGCAUCUAGACCAGAUAUCAUGUUGAGUGUGGGAAUAUGUGCACGGUUUCAAGCCGCACCGAAGGAAAGCCACUAUGUGGCGGUCAAACGAAUCUUUUGAUAUUUGGCUCAUACACCAAACUUUGGCUUAUGGUACCCAAGAGGAGCAAACUUCAAGCUUGAAGGAUAUUCGGAUUCCGAUUGGGCGGGAGACAAAGUGGAUAGGAAGUCCACUUCUGGAGGGUGCCAAUUUCUGGGUUGCUCUUUGGUGAGUUGGUCUUCUAAGAAGCAAAGUUGUGUGUCUCUCUCGUCCACCGAAGCGGAAUAUGUGGCGGCUAGUAGUUGUUGUUCACAACUCUUAUGGAUGAGGCAAACUUUAAAGGAUUACGGUGUCAUUUGUGACAAAGUGCCUCUUUGGUGUGACAAUGAAAGUGCCAUCAAGAUUUCUCUCAACCCGGUGCAACACUUCAAGAUGAAGCAUAUUGAGAUUCGGUAUCACUUCAUCCGGGAUCAUAUUAGGCGAGGGGAGAUAGAGCUCAAGUAUGUCAACACUCAUGAUAACCUUGCAGAUAUUUUCACGAAGCCCUUGGAUGAAGCAAGAUUUCGCGAGUUAAGGCAUGAGCUAAAUAUCAUUGAUUCAAGCAAUGUGACUUGAACCCUUGCACAUCCCACCACACUCAACUUGUUGUCUAGUUUAGGUGUACGCAUGGACAUAGUGGGAGUGUUGUUCUCUUAAUGAACUCUCCCUCCCCCCCGUCAUGCAUAAAUUGAUCAAUUCUUUCACAUUAGCCAUUUUUGAUGGUACAUGUGCUUCAAAGACGAGUUUUGGUCAUGGUCCCAAGGAUAAUUCUUCGCGGUGCCAUACCAAUCAACUCAAACAUAGGUGGCUCCAGCCACCGCCCCCUCCUUGGAGAGGUUGUGUCUCGUUUUGGUCUUUGUUGUCUCUUGUUUGUUUGUUGUGUCUCGCUUGUUAGCUCGUUGGUGUGUGUGUUCUCUUGAAGGUUCCGUGCAAAGUUGUUUUCUCCUAUGCUUGAAACUGAAUUUUCUUGGGUUCACGGUACUACCGUGGUCCGCCAUGGUACUACCGCAGGACACGGUACUACCGCAACCAGCACGGCAGUAAUUUUUUACUGCCGCUGGUGGAGCGGUACUACCGCCCACGGCGCGGUACUUCCGCCCGGGCGGUACUACCGCAAUGAGUCGCGGUACUACUGUGGCGUAGCGAGCGCGUGGGGGUUAAGAGCAGGCAGGGGGAGUUCCAACUCCCCCAUACCCAUUCACUCCUUUUUCCCACGCCGCCUCUCUCUCUCCUGCCCACGAACGGCGCCGGAGACCCUCGCCAGAUCUCCCUCUCUGGCUGCUCUCCUCGGGUUCCAACCGGUGGGAUCGUUCCCUACCACUUCCUCUUGCCAUGGACCAAGGUAUUUCCCCAAAUCCCUCUCUUUUUGGUUUGUUCCUUUGCUUCUAGGUUUUUGGGGAGAUGCUAGUUGUUCUUGAGAUUUUAGGCUAAAUCUUUGCAAGAGUAGGUUGGAGGAGAGUAGUAAUGCGUAGAGUUUAUACAUAAUAUGUUGUCCCGUGGUAGAUUUGAUCGGCCGUAGUACCGCUUUGUCGUCACGGUAGUUCCCAGAUUCAAUUGCUCUUUCGGAUCUGAAAAGGCACGGUACUACCACCCCUUCGGCGCGGUACUACCGUACCUCCAUCGCGGUACUACCGUGAUUUGGAGUGGCACUAAUUUUUUAGUUCCGCGCGACCAAGCAGUGCUACAGUUGUUGUCAAAUCUAUCAUGUGGCAAUUAUUAUGUACGAAUUCUACCUGUUUCACUGUUUUGUUGCGUUCUUUGCACUGAUCCUUCUCGCGUUUCUUGCGUGUUUGUUUUGUGGUGUGUGGCUCAGGUGCUCAUGCUCGCCGUUCCAACCCAAGCCGUGACAUGGGCUCCAAGCGUCUGUGCAAUCAAGAUGAAGCUCCUGAGGGCUCUAGUGCCCCCCAACGCAGGACCAAGACCACCGCCACCAAGGACGAGGAAACCGUCAUGGGUAUGGAUGAGAUGCCGCUUGAUGAGUUCAUCUCUCGAAAGAAGAUCAAUCCCUAUGUGAAUCCUUGUGCCAACCUUCAUGGGAAUGAGUUGUUCUGGACCAAGCAGCAGAAUCUCAUUUAUCUGGACGUGAUCAAGGCCAAGCGGAAUAUCUAUGUGGAUGUGCAUUGGAUCGACAUGCAUCAUAUGAGGGAAGAGAAGCACCGGGCAUACUUUGGUGAGACUCUGGAUCUAGUGGAGCAGUUUGACAUUGAGCAUAUCAUCUCUUUUCACAAAGACUAUGAUCCGGAGAUUGUGGCUCAGUUCUUCGCCUCGGUGUACUUUCAUCCUAAUGAGGACCGGACGAUGACUUGGAUGACCAAUGGUCGGCGGCUGAUGGCUACCAGGAAGGAGUUCAUGACUUUGCUUGGUGUUUCGGAUGAGGGGCUCGCUACCCCAAGGUGUUCGUCCUCAUGCCAAUUCCGAGUCAACCAACAAGAACAAGUUUCAGCCCUUCCUUGUUGAGAAGAAGCUCUCCAGUGGCAAGUCUUCUUGGGUGCUCAACUCCUUACUGGACAUCAUUUACCGGAUCUUCCGCAACUCUCUGUUCCCAUGCAUUGGGGAUAAGGACAAGGUGCAUGCUUAUCUUGUGGACAUGUUGCUCCUGUGUGAAGAAGCGCGCAACUCUCAGACGCUACCACUUGAUGUCUCACACAUCAUGUGGUGUGAGCUUCGGUUUGCCAUCUUCAUCCGCAAGGUCCCCAUCUAUGGACCGUAUCUGUUUCAGUUGAUCUCAGCUACUUGGGAGAAGCUCUACCCUCAGGAUGACUUUGAGGCCCCUGAUUGGAUUCGACACGAUUCCAUCCGGCUCCGUGUCAAGACUCAGUGGGCUAACACCACCUCUCGUGUUGAGGUUGCGGCUGCCAUGGAUGUGGAUGCAGAUGAGGAUGAGGAGGAGCCAGCAGAUGAGGUUAGCUUUGAGGGUUACGCCCCUCCCAUCUCUGAGCCAUCUUGGGCUAAGAAGCUAAAGAACAAGAUGAAGACCUUGUUCUGCAUGCAGGCCAAGGGUCAGUACAGGUCUCAUGUUGCCUCCAAGGAGAGUCGCUGCCAGGACAAGAAGAUCAUGAGGCUGUUUGGAGAGGAUGUUUCUGGCGGUUCUGAGGAUCGCAUCACUCCAGAGGCUGAGUGGAUGGCGAAACAAGGCUUCAAGUGGACUGAUUCUGAGGAGGACGUCGAGGUGACCAUUCCUGCUGCUGAGUCUGACGAGGACCGUGCAUCUGACUACUUUGCUUGAGCCACCACGUGUGUGUAGGUGUCCUCUCUGCCUUUUUGGCGUCCCGAUGCCAAAGGGGGAGAGAGUGUAGGGAUUUGCGAGAGUCUUGUGUCUUAUGUUUGCUUUGCUCGUGUUUGUUUCGUUGAACCUUGCUUGCUUUGAUUUAGUUUGCUCGUGAGACUUGGUCUAUCAUAUGGUGUAAGACAUAUGCACUCUAUCGUACCUUAUUACCUUUUUGAGAUUAUGUUAUGUUGUGCUAUUUUUGUUAUGCUCAUAUUUACUAACUUCCUUAGUGUUAGCCUUUUGUUGCAAGAUAUGCCUUGUCUAUAAAAUAUAGGGGGAGUGUUGAUCCUAGUAUACGUGCCGUGCAGUCCAAAGCACUUUACCCUAUGGCACGCAUCUAGGGGGAGCUCGUUUAUAUUUUAGAGAUGUGGGGUUUGCCUAUGUGCUAUAUUCUUUCCCUUUGUGCAAAUCCCGUAUUGUCGUCAAUCCACCAAAAAGGGGGAGAUCGUAAGGGCAUUUUAUCCCUAAGGUGUUUUGGUGAUUGAUGACAAUGCUUUUGCGGACUAAUCGUGUGCCUUGAGUAUUUCAGUCGCUUCGUCGCUAGGCACAAGACGGUUUGGUACCCCUCGAAGACUAUUGAAGACGGUGGUGUUCUACGUCUCUUUUGGUGGAUUUGAGUCGUAGGAAAGCCGCACUAUUAAGAGGGGGUCCGCGGUGGAAAGGUUCAGGUGGAAUCAUCACGUACACAUUUUCUCCCUUUGCACCGCCUUUCCCUUUGCGCCUUGGAGCAUCCUCCGUUAUCUUCAUUUUGUGCAAAAGAAGGAGUCCUAGUGUUGCUUCUGAGGCAUGCGGUAAUACUGCUCCUAGGAGCGGUAGUACCGCAGGCCCCUGCGCUGGUACCGCAAGCCCUUGCGGUAGUAACAUAGGAGCACACGGUAGUACCGCUCCUAUGGAGCUGUAGUACCGCAGCCUCAGGCCAGGCUCAGCCUCUCUUGUGGUUGUAGGGGCGGAUGUAAUUUUUUACAUCUGCGCCCUACGCAGUAGUAACGCCCCAUGAGCGCGAUAGUACCGUGAGUCCUGGUCUGGCUCAGUAACACGAGCGGAAGUAGGGCGGGUGUAAUUUUUUACAUCCGCUCCCUGCGCGGUAGUACCGCACGCCUGGCGCGGUAGUACCGUGUCGGAUUUUUGCACUGUUCGAUUUUCAGCGGAAGUAGGCACGGAUGUAUUUUUAUUCAUCCGUGCCCUUCCCAGCCUAGUCCAUUCUGGCCUUGCAGUAGUACCGCAAGGGGGAGCGGUAGUACCGCGUCAGCGGCAGUACCACUCUCAGCCGCCUUGGUGGCUCUGGCCUGGACUAGCCCCUGCCGUUGCAGCAGUAGUACCGCGGUCCAUCACGGUAGUACCGUGAGCCCCUGUGGUAGUACCGCUUGUCCGGAGCGGUAGUACGGCAGGUCGCGGGCUGAGUAAGUGGAUAAUGGUUGGAUUUGUCUCUCCACUAUAUAAGGGGUGUCUUCUUCCUCUAGUUGACCACCCUCUUCCAGCCCUAAGCUCCAUUGUUGCUCCAAGCUCCAUUUUUGCCCGAUCUCUCUCCCUAGCCAAUCAAACUUGUUGAUUUGCUCGGGAUUGGUUGAGAAGGCCCCGAUCUACACUUCCACCAAGAGAAAUUUGAUUCCCCCCACUAAUCCCUAGCGGAUCUUGUUACUCUUGGAUGUUUGAGCACCCUAGACGGUUGAGGUCACCUCGGAGCCAUAGUCCAUUGUGGUGAAGCUUCAGGGUGUCAUUGGAAGCCUUCAAUUAAGUUGUGGAGAUUGCUCCAACCUUGUUUGUAAAGGUUCGGUCGCCGCCUUCAAGGGCACCAAUAGUGGAUUCACGGCAUCUCGCAUUGUGUGAGGGCGUGAGGAGAAUAUGGUGGCCCUAGUGGCUUCUUGGGGAGCAUUGUGCCUCCACACCGCUCUAACGGAGACGUACUUCCCCUCAAAAGGAAGGAACUUCGGUAACACAUCCUCGUCUUCAUCGGUUCCACUCUUGGUUAUCUCGUGCCUUUACUUUUGUAAGCUUACUUAUGUUAUAUCCCUUGCUUGCUUGUGUGCUUGUUGUUGUUGCAUCAUAUAGGUUGUUCACCUAGUUGCAUAUCUAGACAACCUACUUUGAUGCAAAGUUUAAUUUGGUAAAGGAAAGCUAAAAAUUGUUAGUUGCCUAUUCACCCCCCCUCUAGUCAACUAUAUCGAUCCUUUCACUUGCUGUUUUUAUAUUUUCAUAUUACAAAAACCUAUAUCUACCAUCCAUAUUGCACUUGUAUUACCAUCUCUUCGCCGAACUAGUGCACCUAUACAAUUUACCAUUGUAUUGGGUGUGUUGGGGACACAAGAGACUCUUUGUUAUUUGGUUGCAGGGUUGUUUGAGAGAGACCAUAUUCAUCCUACGCCUCCCACGGAUUGAUAAACCUUAGGUCACCCACUUGAGGGAAAUUUGCUACUGUCCUAAAAACCUUUGCACUUGGAGGCCCAACAAUGUCUACAAGAAGAAGGUUGUGUAGUAGACAUCAAGCUCUUUUCUGGCUCCGUUGCCGGGGAGGCUAGGUAACGGGCACUAACACCCCGUCAACUAAGCUCUUUUCUGGCGCUGUUGCCGAGAAGGUUAGUGCUUGAAGGUAUAUCUGUAGAUCUUGCAAUCGAAUCUUUUUGUUUCUUGUUUUAUCACUAGUUUAGUUUAUAAAAGAAAACUACAAAAAAAUGGAAUUGAGAGUGCCUCAUAUGCUUCAUAUUUUUAAUGUCUUUCGUGAAAAUGAUGGAAAGUAAAAUUGUUCCCAAGUGCUAGAAGAAGAAUGAAUUAAAAUGUUUGGCACUAAAUCUUUGAAUGAUGAGCAUGAUUGAAAUGUUGUUAGUAUGAACUCUUUGAAUAUCCAUAGUACUAAUUAUGAUUGCACUAGUCAUGAUGAAAAUGUCUCUUAUAAGCAUGUCAACUUUUGUGGAGUGCAUAGAGUUUGCAAGUACACACCAAAUAGGGAAGAUAGAUUUUGCAAGAAGCAUAAGUACUUAGAAACUAAAUGGUUGCAAGAAAGGCUAGAUGUUUGUGCUGAAAAUUUAAAUUUCCUUAGCCAUCCUUGUGAACUUCGCAAUGAACGUGGUCAUUUAAAUAUCCAACGCAAAUUUUUUCAUGAUCGAAUCGUGUCCAAAAAUUGUGAUGACUUGAUUUCCGUUGCACAUCAUAAUGAACUUAGUUUGCUUCUAGGUUAUGAAGAAAUGAAACGUAUAACUAAGGAUAUUCUAGAAUUUGCCCUUGAGUGUGACGCCCCGAGACCGAUGCUCCAGUUGCCUUCCAUUUAUUUUAGUUGUUGUCGUGUGUUUAUUAUGUUUGUUGCUAUGUUCAUGUUGAGUGCUUGUCAUAUUUUGCUUCUUGCAUCAUGCUAUUUAUUAAUUGUAUUUUGCCAUCCUUGUUGUUGCCAUGAUCAUCUUGCUUUGUCAUAUGCUUCAUGAUGUGCUAUUGCAUUUUGUCAUUGUUGUUGCAUUUGCAUCAUGAGCAUCUAUGUUGUGUGCUUCUUCUUGAUAGUUCCUGUUUCGUUGCAAUCGUGAGGAUGCGUUCGUCUACGUGUGGUUCGUCUUCGUGGCUUCAUCUUCUUCAUGGACUCGUUCUUCUUCCUUGUGGGAUUUCAGGCAAGAUGACCGUCACCUUGGAUCUCAUUACUAUCAUUGCUAUGCUAGUUGCUUCGUUCUAUCGCUAUUCUGCGCUACCUAUCUCUUGUUGAUCAAGCCUCCCAAAUUGCCAUGUCAGCCUCUAACCUUUUCAUCCUUCCUAGCAAACCGUUGCUUGGCUAUGUUACCGCUUUGCUCAGCCCCUCUUAUAGCGUUGUUAGUUGCAGGUGAAGUUGAAGAUUGCUCCAUGGUGGAUAGGGUUAUGUUUGGAUAUCACAAUAUCUCUUAUAUUAUUAAUGCAUCUAUAUAUUUGGUAAAGGGUGGAAGGCUCGGCCUUAUGCCUGGUGUUUUGUUCCACUCUUGCCGCCCUAGUUUUCGUCAUACCGGUGUUAUGUUCCCGGAUUUUGCGUUCCUUACGCGGUCGGGUGAUUUAUGGGACCCCCCUGACAGUUCGCUUUGAAUAAAACUCCUCCAGCAAGGCCCAACCUUGGUUUUACCAUUUGCCUCACCACCACCUACUUUUCCCUUGGGAGUAAUUAACACAAGGGUCAUCUUUAUUAUAGCCCCCCCGGGCCAAUGCUUGUCUAAGUGUUGGUCCAAACUAGAGCACCGUGCGGGACCAUCCCUUGGCAACUUGGGUUACGUCGGUACCUGUACGUUUCGCUUAUCCGGUGUUGCCCUGAGAACGAGAUAUGUGCAGCUCCUAUCGGGAUUGUCGGCGCAUCGGGCGGCUUUGCUGGUCUUGUUUUACCAUUGUCGAAAUGUCUUGUAAACCGGGAUUCCGAGUCUGAUCGGGUCUUCCUGGGAGAAGGUAUAUCCUUCGUUGAUCGCGAGAGCUUAUCAUGGGCUAAGUUGGGACACCCCUGCAGGGUAUAAACUUUCGAGAGCCGUGCCCGCAGUUAUGUGGCAGAUGGGAAUUUGUUAAUGUCCGGUUGUAGAUAACUUGACACCAGAUCCAAAUUAAAAUGCAUCAACCGCGUGUGUAGCCGUGAUGGUCUCUUCUCGGCGGAGUCCGGGAAGUGAACACGGUCUUUGGGUUAUGUUUGACGUAAGUAGGAGUUCGGGAUCACCUCUUGAUCAUUGCUAGCUUCACGACCGUUCCGUUUGCUCUCUUCUCGCUCUGAUUUGCGUAUGUUAGCCACCAUAUCAUGCUUAGUCGUUGCUGCAACCUCACCACUUUACCCCUUCCUUUCCCAUUAAGCUUUGCUAGUCUUGAUACCCAUGGUAAUGGGAUUGCUGAGUCCUCGUGGCUCACAGAUUACUACAACAACAGUUGCAGGUACAGGUUAUGCGAUGAUCAUGACGCGAGAGCGAUGUUUGCUUGUUUUGGAGUUCUUCUUCUGCUUCUUCUUCGAUCAAGGGAUAGGUUCUAGGUCGGCAGCCUGGGCUAGCAGGGUGGAUGUCUUUUGAGUUUUUGUUUGUGUUUCAUCUGUAGUCGGAUGUUGAUCUCAUGCAUGAUGUGUUGUUGUAUUCGUGUGGCAUUGUAUGCCUCUUGUACCAUCUUUUAUGUAAUGUUGAUGUAAUGAUAUCCACCUUGCAAAAGUGUUUCAAUAUGCGGUUCUAUCCUUGGUGGGACCUUUGAGUCUUUUUAGGAUAGUAUCACAUAUUGGGUGUGACAUUGAGAGAGUUCUUGAUUUUGAUAUAGAGGAAAUUUAUAUGUAUUGUGCGUUUAAUUACAUCGAAAAUCCUUAUAUUGCCAAUUACAUAAAGACAAGAAAACAAAUAGAAGAUGAAGAGAAUACUAAUGAAAGGGAAGAGACUUCCCAAUAUCCUCCUAUUAUUUCUUUUGGUGAAUCAGAUAACGAGGAGGAGCCUUCUAUUCAACCAAUCUCAUUAAUAAGAAGCUCCAAAAGGGGAUUAAACCCACACAUGAUGCAAAAAGAAAAGACGGAGAAGCAAAGGUAAAAAGGCAUCCCUCCCAAAUGAUGUUGCUCCUACUACUCAUUGUGAUAAUAAUAGUUGCUAUACUAUUGGUGCUAUCCAUACUAUUAAUGAUGAGAGUGAUUAUGCUUAUGAUAUGAAAAGGCCCAAGCUUGGGGAUGCUAUGUUUGAUGAGAAUAACAUGUUUGAGAACUUAUUUGCUGCAAUUAAUGUUUGUCCCAAGCUUGGGUAUGCUAUGCUUAUUGAAGAUGAUAUUUUUAACCUCCCAAGUUUUGAUAUGCAAAUUUGUUAUAUGAUGAUAGCAUGCCUCCUACUUAUGAUGAUUAUAUUGAUGAAAGUGGGUUUGGAAGAGUGUCAACUUUAGGAAGUAAUGAUCCCACUAUUUUGGAGGAUGUUGAAUCUUAUUGUGAUAAUUAUGAAAGUGGAUUUGGAGAGGUCAGGACUUUAUUUAGUAAUGAUUCCACUAUCUUGGAAGAGGCUUCAAUUGAUUGUGAUGAGAACAAAGUUGUCACUUAUGAUGAUUAUUGUGAUGAUACUUAUGCUAUAAAAAGUAGUGAUGAUUAUAUUUAUAAAAGAAUUUAUGAUUAUAAUUACCCUUUUUCUGAACAUUACUCUCUGAAUGUGGAAAUAAUUUAUAGUAUUGGAGUUUCUUAUGAUACUCCCACUCUUCCGAAUGAGAAGAAUUUUUCUUAUGUGGAGAGUACUAAAAUUUAUAUGCUUGGUGAUCAUGAAAAGAAUGCUUUAUAUGAUAGUUAUAUUGUUGAAUUCAUUCAUGAUUCUACUGAAAAUUAUCAUGAGGGAGGAAUAUAUGCUUGUAGGAAUUGCAAUAAUAUCAAGUUUCCUCUCUAUGUGCUUAAAAUCUUGAAGUUAUGCUUGUUUUGCUUUCCUAUGCUAGUUGAUUAUUGUUCCCAUAAGUUGUUUGCUCAUAAAAUACCUAUGCAUAGGAAGUGGGUUAGACUUAAAUGUGCUAGUCAUAUUCUUCAUGAUGCUCCCGUUAUGUUUUAGUUCUUAUCUUUUAUGUGAGCAUCAUUGAAAUCAUCAUGCCUAGCUAAAAAGGCAUUAAAGUAAAGCGCUUGUUGGAUGACAACCCAAUAUUUACCCCUACUGUUUUUGUGUGUUCACAUGGUUAAGAUACUGUAGUAAUCAUGUUUUAUAGCUUUUGUUUCAAUAAAGUGCCAAGUAGAACCUUUGGGAAGACUUGGGUGAAAGUUAAUGUGAUCUUGCUGUAAAAAACAGAAACUUUGCGCUCACGAGAAUAAUUUUCAUUUUUAAGAAAAUAGUUCUUUUAAGUUGAUUCUUUUUGCAGAAGAUUAAUAGACAAAUUCCUCACGUCAACCAAUUUAUUUCAGAAUUGUUUGAGGUACAGAAGUAUUCGAGAGUUACAUAUUACUACAUACUGUUCUGUUUUUGACAGAUUCUGUUUUCUCUGCGUUGUUUGCUUAUUUUGAUGAAUAUAUGAGUAGUAUCGGCGGGUAUGAACCAUAGAGAAGUUGGAAUACAGUAGAUAUUACACCAAUAUGAAUAAAUAAUGAGUUCACAACAGUACCUAAGUGGUGAUUUAUUUUCUUAUACUAACGGAGCUUACGAGUUUUCUGUUGAGUUUUGUGUUGUGAAGUUUUCAAGUUUUGGGUAAAGAUUCGAUGGAUUAUGGAAUAAGGGGUGAUAAGAGCCUAAGCUUGGGGAUGCCCAAGGCACCCCAGGGUAAUAUUCAAGGACAACCAAGAGCCUAAGCUUGGGGAUGCCCCGGAAGGCAUCCCCUCUUUUGUCUUCGUUCAUCGGUAAUUUUACUCGGAGCUAUACUUUUAUUCACCACAUGAUAUGUGUUUUGCUUGGAGUGUAAUUUUGUUUUAUUUUGUUUUUCUUGCUGUUUGAAUAAAGUACUUCAGAUCUGAAAUUCUUAAAUGUUAGAGAGUCUUCACAUAGUUACAUAAUUAUAAGACUACUCAUUGAGCUUCACUUAUAUCUUUUGGAGUAGUUUGUUGGUUGCUCUAGUGCUUCACUUAUAUCUUUUAGAGCACGAUGCUAUUAUUUUGAAAGAAAUAGAUGAACUCUCAUGCUUCAUUUAUAUUACUUUGAGAGUCUUAAACAGCAUGAUAAUUUGCUUUGGUUAUGAAUUUAGUCCUAAUAUGAUGGGCAUCCAAGAGGGAUAUAAUAAAAACUUUCAUAUAAAGUGCAUUGAAUACUAUGAGAAGUUUGAUUCCUUAUUGUUUUGAGAUAUGAAGAUGGUGAUAUUAGAGUCGCGCUAGUGGAGUAGUUGUGAAUUUGAGAGAUACUUGUGUUGAAGUUUGUGAUUCCCGUAGCAUGCACGUAUGGUGAACCGUUAUGUGAUGAAGUUGGAGCAUGAUUUAUUUAUUGAUUGUCUUCCUUACGUGUGGAGGUCGGGAUCGCGCGAUGGUUAACUCCUACCAACCCUUCCUCUAGGAGAAUGCGUGUAGUACUUUGUUUGAUGACUUGUAGAUUUUUGCAAUAAGUAUGUGAGUUCUUUAUGACUAAUGUUGAGUCCAUGGAUAUACGCAUUCUCACCCUUCCACCAUCGCUAGCCUCUCUUGUGCCACGUAACUUUCGCCGGUGCCAUAACACCCACCAUUAUCUUCCUCAAAACAGCCACGAUACCUACCUAUUAUGGCAUUUUCAUAGCCAUUCCGAGAUAUAUUGCCAUGCAACUUUUCACCGUUCCGUUUAUUAUGACACGCUUCAUCAUUGUCAUAUUGCUUCGCAUGAUCAUGUAGUUGACAUCGUAUUUGUGGCAAAGCCACCUUUCAUAAUAUUUUCAUACAUGUCACUCUUGAAUCGUUGCACAUCCCGGUACACCGCCGGAGGCAUUCAUAUAGAGUCAUAUUUUGUUUUAAGUAUCGAGUUGUAAUUCUUGAGUUGUAAGUAAAUAAAAGUGUGAUGAUCUUCAUUAUUAGAGCAUUGUCUGAGUGAGGAAAUGAUGAUGGAGACUAUGAUUCCCCCACAAGUUGGGAUAAGACUCCAGACGCAAAAUAAAAAAUAUAUAAAAAAAGAGGCAAAAAAAAAAGAAAAGGCCCCAAAAAACAAAAAAAAGAGAGAAAAAGAGAGAAGGAGACAAUGUUACUAUCCUUUUACCACACUUGUGCUUCAAAAUAGCACCAUAAUUAUAACAACUUAUACCUAGUUUUAUUUUAAAAGAAUCACAUAUUAUUUGGAAAACAUAUUUAUUUACUUUUCUAUUUAUUUUUAUUAUAUAGACAUAUAAUUUUUCAGAAACACACACAAACUUUAUUAAAACAGAUGAACACAUUUUAAAACAAACAUAUUCUUAAAGCUUGAACACAUUUGUAUACCACAUGAUUAAUUAAUUAAAACCAUGAACAUAUUUAAACUUACAUGAAGAUUUAUUUAAAUAUAGAGAAAUUAAAAUUUCAUUACCAUUUUUUAAAUAUGCAAAUUGUUAUGUGAAUAAUUUUGUAAUUUAAUUAUAUGUAUGUUCUUUAAAUUUAUACUUGAAUAUUAUUUAUAAUUUAUUCUAUUUUAUUUGUAUUUAUAUUGUUUACAACACAUGAUUAUAAUUUACUUGGCGCGGUGAAUAUUCUAGUAGAGGAAAAACUAACAGCCCAUUUAAGCCUAAAAGAAUAUCUUUCCCUAAUAAUAAAGCGAUUAUCGCUUCUGCCCGCUCACCAUCGUCGCACUCUUUGCUAAAACCCCCUUGUGUUUUUCAGUAAUACAACUCACAGUCCUUCUUUUACUAAUGAUGGAUCGUUAAAAAAACUGUGUUUUAUCCAAACACAAUCUCUUCCUUUCCAGACGCGGCGGACAAGAGAAGGUGAGGUGCGGGCGAAGCAGCAGUAAAAGGGGCACGCGGCGGAGCAGCAGUAGAAGGGGCGCGCGGCGGAGCAGGAGAAGCUGGUCGAGCCCUUGUCGCGGGACAGCUACAACCGUCUCCCGCUUCCUAUCCAGCCGCAGCGGAGCAGGAGAAGUUCAGGCGCGGCGCGACGGAGCAGGAGAGGUUCAGGGGCGGUGCUAGCGGAGCAGGAGAGGUUCAUGGGUGGUGCCCUUGUCGCCGGACGGCCAUCCUUGUUGCGCUUGAUGGAGGACAGAAGGGGGAACAUUUUCUGGUGGGUACGCCGGCCGCGGGCACGCUUCGCUGUGACCUGCCGCCGCCAAUCCUCUCCGGCCUCCGCUUCGCUCUGACCUGUCUGCCGCCGCCAGUCCUCUCUGGCCUCCUCCGUCAUAUCCUUCUCAAUCUCCGACGAGCUGUUCCUGUGUCGUGAUUUAAUUGGAUGAACAAUCGGAGGCCGUGUCCUUGUCCAACACCAAGCAAUGGAGUGCCGACCCGGAUUUGAGUUGCUUGCCAUAAGAAGGAGCGGUCCUCGGCCGGAAUCUCCAUCAGAUUGCGUCCUUGGACCAUAAGCUCCAUCAAAGCCUGUCCAAAUUGCUUUUUGACGCAACAUACAAUGUCGCCGUCGAGUUUGCCGGAGGAACAAGACCAUCUGCCGAACCGUCCAAUUUUGCCUGCCUCGGCUACACCAAAGGUAUGUAUCCCCUUCAUAUUCACUGGAUGGAAUCCCCUGUUUGCAGCUUUGCGGACCUUCAAAGUGGCUUGCCAAAGACGAAACCAUUAUCGUUGAACGAAUCAGACCGGGGCAACACCCCAGACACGCCAUCGAACUCUAGAUCNNNNNNNNNNNNNNNNNNNNNNNNNNNNNNNNNNNNNNNNNNNNNNNNNNNNNNNNNNNNNNNNNNNNNNNNNNNNNNNNNNNNNNNNNNNNNNNNNNNNNNNNNNNNNNNNNNNNNNNNNNNNNNNNNNNNNNNNNNNNNNNNNNNNNNNNNNNNNNNNNNNNNNNNNNNNNNNNNNNNNNNNNNNNNNNNNNNNNNNNNNNNNNNNNNNACAUGACUAAGACGUCGAAGGAGGAAACCAUGCGUGCCAUCCAUGAACCACGAGCCCAGCACACGUUCCAUCUUUCAGAUGUCAUCGAUGCAGACCACAAUUUGCAUCCGCUCCUCGACUACCUCCCAAGCUCCGCAUGGACGUUGGAACAAACGUCGUCGCAACGACGGAGCCCCAGGACACAUGUCCACCACAAGCAUGCCGCCGCCGCCACGACAUCCCUGCUUGAGCUGGUUCCAGAUCCUUCACCGACAAUAGAGACAAUUGACUCGCCGGAGAAGAAUCCGGAGCUUCUUUAUUUAGCAUCGCCGUCGCCGCCGCCGAAGCAAAGACAUCGAACGAUACAAAACCCUAAGCUUCUUGGGCCCUAAAACCUAAAGCUAAAACAGUCCACAAGCGCGGGAUCCGGCGACCCCCUCACCACCGACAACCAAAAGGUCGCCGGUGGAGGAGAGCUGCCGGAAGACGGCAUGGGAAGGAGCGGCUCUCCUGAAGACCUACGCAAGUUUGAGCGUGUAGCGACGUACUCCCUCCGUUCGGAAUUACUUGUCGUAGAAAUGGAUGUAUCUAGAUGUAUUUUAGUUCUAGAUACAUCCAUUUUCGAGACAAGUAAUUCCGAACGGAGGGAGUAGUACAUAUAUGUACGUAUCUACGCUAUAUUACAGCUUUAGGACUCGUAUCGACUUAACAAGAGUCAGGAAUACUUAACCCAAACCGGUAAAGAUAGCUUUGCAACUGCAGCAGCUGUUCAAUAACAAUGACAAUUCAGAAUCUGAUUCAAAUUCAACAUUCUGAUAUAACUAGCAGGAUAUAGAACGCCGAAAUUGGCAAACGUUAUGGAAAACACAGAGAGUGCGUAGGAUGCAGAAUAAGUUCUCGUCUUGUUAUGCUUCCCUUUACCAAAAGAGCUUUGCUUAGACCCAGAAGCAUUUACAACCACAUACUACUACUACACAUAGGGUUAAUUUCAACGGCAACCAUGUCAGCGGACAGUGUCGUAGCAACUCCUAUUGAAAUCUGGAUACCUGCACAACCACAAUGCCAUCAGUGAAACCCAAUAUGUAGUCACCCACUGAACAACCGUCAAAGCUAUAUAUCUCAUAAUUCUGCAUGAUCACAACAAUAAACAUCAACUCAAAAUUCUGCAGAUCAUGCGAAAAAACUAAAGAUAAAUCAUCUCGGAAGCAUUGGACAAAACUAACAUCAUCCUGGCAAUACAAGAACAAUUUAGUUUGUACUCCAUCCGUCCGGAAAUCCUUGUUUGGAUACAUCCCCUUUUAUCCAUUUUGAUGACAAGUAUUUCCGGACGGAGGGAGUAGUGUUUUACACACCUUGAACCUUUACCAUUGGCAUGUUCUUAGUUUUGUGCAAACAAAAGAUCAAUGACAAAAACUUAGGCCCCGCUCGGGAAUUCACCGCUCCUAGGAUCUGCGGAGCGGCUGUUUGCUGGCUCCUAGAUUUUGCACUACAGCUCCGCCCGCUCCCGGAGCGGAGCCGUGGAGCGGAGUGACGCCGAACGGGGCCUUAUUUACAUAUCAUUGGUAUACAAACAAAAAAGAUCAAUGACUCAAUUCUUCCCUCACAAGCAAAUACUGAACUUCCUAGAGUUUCACAACAUUCAAGAUUUAGAAGCUCACGUAAGAAAGCACAACAGUCUCAUAUCUAACUCAUAAUCAGAACAAUUAGUUUGUACUAGCACACCUUCCUACCUCUACUUUAGACAUGCUCCAAUGUUCUUUUGCUACAUUAGUACAUGUGGUCAUAGUAGAAUCUAGUAUUAGAUCAGUGACUCGACACCCCCAGCAGAGGCAAAAGCUAAAUUUCCUCGAGUGUCAAGUCAUUUGAGUUGUGUAUCAUGUGCAUAUGAGAGGUUCCCGGACUACAAAGUAUCAACAUAUGGAUUGUAACUCAAAGGCACGCCUUUUGGAAAUGUAAGAACUAUAUAUACAAUUAGGAAUAAAUCAAAUUCGUGCACUGCAGGCCUAAAACAAUCAUGAUCUUAUAAACUGAGUAAUAACCAACAAAAAAAAAAGAUAUGCGCAUUGCAAACAGAUUAGCUGACCUCAC